GGUACGUCGGUGAGGGCAUGGAGGAGGGAGAGUUCUCUGAGGCCCGUGAGGAUCUUGCUGCCCUGGAGAAGGACUAUGAAGAAGUUGGUGCUGAGUUCGACGAGGGUGAGGACGGUGACGAGGGCGACGAGUACUAGAGCCUGCCUCCUGGUGCUUUCGCAAGGCGUGCUGCUGCUAUCCCAUGAUCUGCCCGAGUGGCUUUAUCUGUUAUCUGUCUGUUUGAAUCUUUGCUUUGUGGUGUUUGUUUUACAACCUGUUGUGUUGUAAGACCCUUGUAUCUUUGAACCUGUUAUGCACCUUGGUUAAUAUGCAUGCUAUCUGGUUAUCUACACCAUAGCCUUAAUUGCUCUGUCUCCAUUUUCCUGUUUUAUACUAAUUUGUAUUGUUUCAUUUGUGGUACUGUUGAACUCUGCCUAUUAUCUCAACAUAGCCGGUCGGAAGCCCGAGUGAAGGAGUGUUGGUGAGAUGCUUGGCGAGCCAUUGUUUCAGCCACUCUUGUGCAGUUGAAACCCAAAAGCCCUGGCCCAACUUGUUAAACUUGGCCACUCUUAUGCAGACGAAACCCAACAGAUGGCCUACCCCAAAUUGGUUGCAAUGAUGAUCGAACCUAACUUGAAAUGUUGUUGCUUCCAGUCAAGUGCUACGCUUGUACCAACCUAGAGUUUGAACUGGAAUUGAGGAAAUGUUUGUUGAGUUUGCUAUUUUACAGGUGCCUGAAGUUUCUCCUAUAUCAUCAGCGACCUAAUUUGAUCUUCCUGUGGUCAAUUGGAAUUCAGGGAAUGUUUGUUGCUAACAAGACGCCUGAAAUUUAUUCUCCUAUAAACCACGAUUAAAAGAUUCAGUAGUAGCCACAAGCUUAAAAAGCAGCAAGUAUAAAUCACAGGCAAGAAAUAUAUAAGACCUGUAAAUUGUUUGUUUUCUGAUGGACCAUAUCAGACGUAACUCAGAUCUGUACUCUAUUCUUUAGAUAGAUGGCAAGAGAAUAUGAUCAAAAAUGCUGGUGAAGUAUGUCCAAAUAACAUGGUUCAGUGUUCAAGCAGGAAGCCAGUCUCCAUCAGGGGGUGUACCUGUAAAAGAUUUGAAUCAUCAGUUUGGGUCUCAACAAUUUCUUCUAUCAACACCAAGCAAUCCCCACACCGCUAGACCGGCGUCAAACCCCCAAUUAUUGCCCCGGCGACGCGAGUUACGGCGGCCAGCGCCAGCGGAGUGCAGACGGGCCUACGGUGGCGUGCGCCGUCGGGGAAGAGUCCCGUUGCUCCCCUGUCCAUGCUUCCCCGCACGACACCACUCCCCGGCGGCGUUGACCGAGCUCGGAGCUGAGGCGAGGCAGCCGGCGGAGUGCAGAUGGCGGCCGCGCUCCUCGUCCGCCGUCCCGGUGGCGGCUUACGUGGGCAGCCUCGAGCUCGGCCACAACUCCCAGCAGAUCAAGGCCAAGCUCGCGCACACGCGAGGCCUGCUGCACCGCGACCUCGGCCACAACCCUGGACUGCAGGACUUGCUGCCGGCGCUGAGCAGGAACGCCGACCAGGCGGAGGACCUGCUGGAUGAGCUCCACCACUUCCAGAUCCAUGACAGGCACCACGGCACCAGCCACGCCACCACCCAGGCCAAUUUUCUUCCUCAUGGCCGCAAUGCUCUCCGGCACACUGCCACUAGCUGGGCCGCGUGCUUUUCUUGUCGUCUGCACAAAGAUCACGAUGACAAGUGACGUUUCCACCCAGUGAUCUUCUCCAGGAAAAUCAAGUCGGUGUUACAGGACAUGCAGGCCCACUGUGACUCCAUCUCCGAUUUGCUUGGGAAAUAUCCCAAGCAGCAGCAUGGAAGCCACCCUACACCGGCCUCAGAUUGGAUCCACAAUUAUGCAAGAUACAUUAUAUGGUAGGAGACACACUUUUGAGGAAACUGCCAACCGUGUCAUCAGCCGCGAAGAUACCUCUAUAAUGAUGCAAGGCUGUAUAGUGAUACUGGGGAUGAAAAUUAUUUUGAAGUCAGGGUCUGGGUAUGUGUAUCGACUGAAUUCGAUGUGCUUAAGCUCACCAGGGAGAUCCUUGGCUGCAUACCUGAACAAGAAGGAAUCAACGGUGUUGCAAAUGAAGCAACAAAUUUAGACCAGCUUCAGAAAUCCAUAGCACACCGUCUCAAGUCCAAAAGGUUUCUAAUUAUCUUGGAUGAUAUAUGGAAAUAUGACGGUCAGGAUCAGUGGAAGACCCUGCUAGCUCCAUUCACAAAGGGGGAAACCAAAGGAAGCAUGGUAAUUGUCACAACUCGAUUCCCAAAGAUAGCAGGCAUGGUGAAAAUACUUGAUCCACUAGAGCUGCGAGGUUUUGAGUCUUAGGGCAUCUCCAAUGCGCGGGCGCUUGCGUAGAUGCUUAGGGAAUAGAAUAAAAUAAAAUAAAACAAUGUUUACCGUCUGGGUAAGCGCCUAGGCGUCCAACGCUAGUGCCCUGUGAGACGCUUGUUCUCUCUCAUCAAAUUAAUUACCGGUGAACUGGAAGCACUCCCCUAACCGCUCACUGAUCCGGGGGCCCAAGGACACUAAUUUAACCCGAGACAAUAUUUUAAUUUAACUAAUUAAACCCACUGUUAAAAUAUGUAUCACUUACACAAGGAGCCACUGGUCAGUAUUGACUAGUCAAACGGUCCUGUUGACUGGACCUGCUGACGCAGCAGAGGCUCCUCGAGUCAGCCUCUACUAACUGGGCAGUUGACCCAGUCAACUGGGCCCACUGGUCAGCCUCUCUGCUGGUCAGUUGGGUACAAUUCUGGGUACACAAAUCAAUUACUGAAUAAACUUCGAAUUAAUAAUAUUUCAGGAAAUUCCAGAAUAUGUUUAAAUCUUUGAAAAAUCAUAUAAAUUAAUCCGUAAGUUAGAUGAAAAUAAUUUAUAUAUGAAAAUUACUCGAAAAAAUACAACAAUCUGAAUAUGCAAUCUGUUCAUCUUGAAGGAAAUAUGCCCUAGAGGCAAUAAUAAAGUUGUUAUUUAUAUUUUCUUAUAUCAUUAAAAAUGUUUAUUAUUCAUGCUAGAAUUGUAUUAACCAGAAACUUAGUACAUGUGUGAAUACAUAGACAAAAUAGAAUAUCCCUAGUAUGCCUCUACUUGACUAGCUCGUUAAUCAAAGAUGGUUAACUUUCCUAAACCAUAGACAUGUGUUGUCAUUUGAUGAACGAGAUCACAUCAUUGGGAGAAUGAUGUGAUGGGCAAGACCCAUCCGUUAGCUUAGCAUAUUGAUCGUUCAGUUUUAUUGCUAUUGCUUUCUUCAUGACUUAUACAUAUUCCUCUGACUAUGAGAUUAUGCAACUCCUGAAUAUCGAAGGAACACCUUGUGUGCUAUCAAACGUCACAACGUAACUGGGUGAUUAUAAAGAUGCUCUACAGGUGUCUCUGAUGGUGUUUGUUGAGUUGGCAUAGAUCGAGAUUAGGAUUUGUCACUCCGUGUAUCGGAGAGAUAUCUCUAGGCCCUCUCGGUAAUGCACGUCACUAUGAGUCUUGCAAGCAAUGUGACUAAUGAGUUAGUCACGGGAUGAUGCAUUACGGAACGAGUAAAGAGACUUGCCGGUAAUGAGAUUGAACUAGGUAUGAGGAUACCGACGAUCGAAUCUCGGGCAAGUAACAUACCGAUGACAAAGGGAAUAACAUAUGUUGUUAUGCGGUUUGACCGACAAAGAUCUUCGUAGAAUAUGUGGGAGCCAAUAUGUGCAUCCAUGUUCCGCUAUUGGUUAGUCACUGGAGAGGUGUCUCGGUCAUGUCUACAUACUUCUCGAGCCCGUAGGGUCCGCACGCUUAACAUUCGAUGACGAUUUUAUAUUGUAUGAGUUAUGUGAUUUGAUGACCGAAUGUUGUUCGGAGUCCCGAAUGAGAUCAUGGACAUGACGAGGAGUCUCGAAAUGGUCGAGAGGUAAAGAUUCAUAUAUAGGACGAUAGUAUUUGGACACGGGAAGUGUUCUGGGGGUAUCGGGUACGUAUCGGGUCACCGGAAAGGGGUUCCGGGCACCCUCGGCCAAGAUAUGGGCCUUAUUGGGCCUAGGAAGGGACAUACCAGCCCCUAGUGGGCUGGUGCGCCCCAUACAUGGCCGAAUAAGGUGGGGAAAUGAAAAGGGAGAGGAGAGGAAGUAACGGGGGCAAUUCGGCCUCCCCUUUCCUUCUCCCCCUCCUCUUUCCUUCUCCCUCCGGAAGACAUGGAAAGGGGGAUGCCGAAUAGGAUUAGGCCCCAAGUAGGAUUCCUCCUACUUGGGGUGCGCCUCCUGCUGCUCCCCCCUCCCACCUAUAUAUAUAUGUGGGGGGGGGGCACGCUAGAACACACCAAGUAUUCUCUUAGCCGUGUGCGGUGCCCCCCUCCAUGGUUACACACUUUGGUCAUAUCAUCGUAGUGCUUAGGUGAAGCCCUGCACCGGUAACAUCAUCAUCACCGUCGCCAUGCUGUCGUGCUGACGGAACUCUCCCUCGUCCUCAACUGGAUCAAGAGCUCGAGGGACGUCAUCGAGCUGAACGUGUGCUGAACGCGGAGGUGCCGUACUUCGGUGCUUGGAUCGGUUGGAUUGCGAAGACGCUCGACUACAUCAACCGCGUUACUAAACUCUUCCGCUUUCGGUCUACGAGGGUACGUGGACACACUCUCCCCGCUCGUUGCUAUGCAUCUCCUAGAUAGAUCUUGCGUGAUCGUAGGUAAAUUUUUUGAAAUACUGCGUUCCCCAACAGUGGCAUCCGAGGAAGGUCUAUGCGUAGAUGUUAUAUGCAUGAGUAGAACACAAAGAGUUGUGGGCGAUAAUAAUCAUACUGCUUACCAACAUGUCAUACUUUGAUUCGGCGAUAUUGUUGGAUGAAGCGGUUCAGAUCGACAUUACGCAUACGCUUACGCGAGACUAGUUCUACCGACGUGCUUCGCACACAGGUGGCUAUGUUGGGGAACAUAGUAAUUUCAAAAAAUUUCCUACACACACACAAGAUCAUGGUGAUGCAUAACAAUGAGAGGGAAGAGUGUUGUCUACGUACCCUCGUAGACCGUAAGCGGAAGCAUUAUGACAACGCGGUUGAUGUAGUUGUACGUCUUCACGGUCGACCGAUCCUAGCACCGAAGGUACGACACCUCCACGAUCUACACACAUUCGGCACGGUAACGUCCCGCGAACUCACGAUCCAGUAGAGCUUCAAGGGAGAGCUUCGUCAGCACGACGGCGUGAUGACGGUUAUGAUGUUGCUACCGAAACAGGGCUUCGUCUAAGCACCGCUACGAUAUGACCGAGGUGGAUUAUGGUGGAGGGGGGCACCGCACAUGGCUUGGAACAAUCAACUUGUGUGUUCUAGGGUGCCCCUGCCCCCGUAUAUAAAGGAGCAAGGGGGGAGGCCGGCCGACCCUAGUGGCACCCAAGGAGAGGAGGAAUCCUCCUCCUAGUAGGAGCAUGAUUCAUCCUUUUCUAGUCCUACUAGGAAGGAGGAAGAGGGAAGGAAAGAGUGGGAGAGGGAGAGGGAAAGAGGGGGCGUGCCCCCCUCCCCAAGUCCUAUUCGGACUCCCCUUGGGGGGAGGGAGGGGGGCGGCACCUCCUGGGCUGCUGCCCUCUCUCUCCUCUAAGGCCCACUAAGGCCCAAUACUCCCUCCGGGGGUUCCGGUAACCCCUUCGGCACUCCGAUUUUCUUCGAAAUCACCCGGAACACUUCCGGUGUCCGAAUAUAGCCGUCCAAUAUAUCGAUAUUUAUGUCUCGACCAUUUCGAGACUCCUCGUCAUGUCCGUGAUCACAUCCGGAACUCCGAACUACCUUCGGUAUAUAAAAACACAUAAACUCAUAAUACCGAUUGUCACCGAACGUUAAGCGUGCGGACCCUACGGGUUCGAGAACUAUGUAGACAUGACCGAGACUCAUCUUUGGUCAAUAACCAAUAGCGGAACCUGGAUGCUCAUAUUGGUUCCUACAUAUUCUAUGAAGAUCUUUAUCGGUCAAACCGCAUAACAACAUACGUUGUUCCCUUUGUCAUCGGUAUGUUACUUGCCCGAGAUUCGAUCGUCGGUAUCUCAAUACUUAGUUCAAUAUCGUUACCGGAAAGUCUCUUUACUCGUUCCGUAAUGCUACAUCCAGUAACUCACUCAUUAGCUACAUUGCUUGCAAGGCUUAUUGUGAUGUACAUUACCGAGAGGGCCUAGAGAUACCUCUCCGACAAUCAGAGUGACAAAUCCUAAUCUUGACCCAUGCCAACUCAACAAACACCAACGGAGACACAUGUAGAGCACCUUUAUAAUCACCCAGUUACGUUGUGACGUUUGGUAGCAUACAAAGUGUUCCUCCGGUAAUCGGGAGUUGCAUGAUCACAUAGUCAUAGGAACAUGUAUAGUUAUGGAGAAAGCAAUAGCAACAAACUAAACGAUCAUCGUGCUAAGCUAACGGAUGGGUCAAGUCAAUCACAUCAUUCUCUAAUGAUGUGAUCCCGUUAAUCAAAUGACAACCCAUGUCUAUGGUUAGGAAACAUAGCCAUCAUUGAUUGAACGAGCUAGUUAAGUAGAGGCAAACUAGUGACACUCUGUUUGUCUAUGUAUUCACACAUGUACUAAGUUUCCGGUUAAUACAAUUCUAGCAUGAAUAAUAAAGAUUUAUCAUGAUAUAAGGUAAUAUAAAUAACAACUUUAUUAUUGCCUCUAGGGCAUAUUUCUUUCAUGCUAGUGGGUGUCUAUUUCUCCAACUUUAGUCGAAUCGAGUGUGACUACGCCCGGUCCUUGUUGAAGGUUAAAACAACAAACUUGAUGAAAAAUCGUUGUGGUUUUGAUGCGUAGGUAAGAACGGUUCUUGCUAAGCCCGUAGCAGCCACGUAAAACUUGCAACAACAAAGUAAAUGACGUCUAACUUGUUUUUGCAGGGCAUGUUGUGAUGUGAUAUGAUCAAGACGUGAUUGUGAGAUGAUCAUGUUUUGUAACACAGUUGUCGGCAACUGGCAGGAGCCAUAUGGUUGUCGCUUUAUUGUAUGAAAUGCAAUCGCCAUGUAAUUGCUUUACUUUAUCACUAAGCGGUAGCGAUAGUCGUAGAAGCAAUAGUUGGUGAGACGACAAUGAUGCUUCGAUGGAGAUCAAGGUGUCAAGCCGGUGACGAUGGUGAUCAUGAUGGUGCUUUGGAGAUGGAGAUCAAAGGCACAAGAUGAUGAUGGCCAUAUCAUAUCACUUAUAAUGAUUGCAUGCGAUGUUUAUCCUUUAUGCAUCUUAUUUUGCUUAGUACGGCGGAAGCAUUAUAAGAUGAUCUCUCACUAAAUUUCAAGGUACAAGUGUUCUCCCUGAGUAUGCACCGUUGCUACAGUUCAUCGUGCCGAGACACCAUGUGAUGAUCAGGUGUGAUAAGCUCUACGUUCACAUAUAACGGGUGCAAGCCAGUUUUGCACACGCAAAGUACUCGGGUUAAACUUGACGAGCCUGGCAUAUGCAGAUAUGACCUCGGAACACUGAGACCGAACGGUCGAGCGUGAAUCAUAUAGUAGAUAUGAUCAACAUAGUGAUGUUCACCAUUGAAAACUACUCCAUCUCACGUGAUGAUCGGACAUGGUUUAGUUGAUAUGGAUCACGUGAUCACUUAGAUGAUUAGAGAGAUGUCUAUCUAAGUGGGAGUUCUUAAGUAAUAUGAUUAAUUGAACUUUAAUUUAUCAUGAACUUAGUCCUGACAGUAUUUGCAUAUCUAUGUUGUAGAUCAAUAGCUUGCGAUGUAGCUUCCAGUUUAUUUUUGAUAUGUUCCUAGAGAAAAUAAGUUGAAAGAUGAUAGUAGCAAUGAUGCUGACUUGGUCCGUGAUCUGAGGAUUAUCCUCAUUGCUGCAUAGAAGAAUUAUGUCCUUGAUGCACCGCUAAGUGACAAACCUAUUGUAGGAGCAGAUGCACAUGUUAUGAAAGUUUGAUAAAGCUCGGUAUGAUGACUACUUAAUAGUUUAGUGUACCAUGCUUUACGGCUUAGAACUGGGACUUCAAAAACGUUUUGAACGCCACAGAGCAUAUAAGAUGUUCUAAGAGUUGAAAUUGGUAUUUCAUACUCAUGCCCGUGUCGAGAGGUAUGAGACCUCUGACAGUACUUUGACUACAAGAUGGAGGAGAAUAACACAACCAAUGAGCAUGUGCUGAGAUUGUCUGGGUACUACAAUUGCUUGAAUCAAGUGUGAGUUAAUCUUUUAGAUAAGAUAGUAAUUGACAAAGUUCUCUAGUCACUAUCACCAAGUUACUAGAACUUAGUGAUGAACUAUAAUAUGCAAGGGAUGACGAAAGUAAUUCCCAAGCUCUUCGCGAUGCUCAAAUCGACGAAGGUAGAAAUCAAGAAAUAUCAUCAAGUGUUGAUGGUUAAAAAGACCACUAGUUUCAAGAAAAAGGCAAAGGGAAAGAAAAAGGAACUUCAAAGAAGAAUAGCAAGCAAGUUGCUGCUCCCAUGAAGAAGCCCAAAGCUAGACCCAAGCCUGGAACUGAGUGCUUCUACUGCAAAGGUAAUGAUCGCUAGAAGUGGAACUGCCCUAGAUACUUGGCGGAUAAGAAGAAUGACAAAGUGAACAAAAGUAUAUUUGAUAUACAUGUUAUUGAUGUGUACUUUAUUAGUGUUUAUAGCAACCCCUCAGUAUUUGAUAUUGGUUUAGUUGCUAAGAGUAGUAACUAAAAACAGGAGUUGCAGAAUGAACACAGACUAGUUAUGGACGAAGUGACGAUGUGCGUUGGAAAUGAUUCAAGGGUUGAUAAGAUCACCAUUGCACACUCCCUCUAUCCUCGAGAUUAGUGCUGAACCAAAAUAAAUGUUAUUUGGUAUUUGUGUUGAGCAUGAAUAUGAUUGAAUCAUGUUUAUUGCAAUACAGUUAUUCAUUUAAGUCAAAGAAUAAUUGUUGUUCUGUUUACAUGAAUAAAACCUUGUAUGGUCAUACACUUAAUAUAAAUGGUUUAUUGAAUCUCGAUCGUAAUGAUACACAUAUUCAUAAUAUUGAUGCCAAAAGAUGCAAAGUUGAUAAUGAUAGUGCAACAUAUUUGUGGCACCGUCGUUUAGGUCAUAUUGGUGUAAAGCGCAUGAAGAAACUCCGUGCUAAUGGGCUUUUGGAAUCACUUGAUGCUUGCGAACCAUGCCUCAUGGGCAAGAUGACUAAGACUCCGUUCUCUGAAACAAUGAAGCGGGCAACAGACUUAUUGAAAAUAAUACAUACUGAUGUAUGCGGUUCGAUGAGUGUUGAUACUCGCGGCGGGUAUCGUUAUUUUCUGACCUUCACAGAUGAUUUGAGCAGAUAUGGGUAUAUGUAUGAAAUAAGUCUGAAACAUUUAAAAAGUUUAAAGAAUUUCAGAGUGAAGUGGAAAAUCAUCGUAACAAGAAAAUAAAUACGAUCUGAUCGUGGAGGUGAAUAUUUGAGUUACGAGUUUGAUCUUCAUUUGAAACAAUGCGGAAUAGUUUCACAAACUCACGCCACCCGGAACACCACAGCGUAAUGGUGUGUCCGUACGUCGUAAUCGCACUUUAUUAGAUAUGAUGCGAUCUAUGAUGUCUCUUACCGAUUUACCACUAUCGUUUUGGGGUUAUGUAUUAGAGACAACUGCGGACUACAUAUGGAGAAAAAUGAGUGAAUCUACACUCUAAAAUACGUCUAUAUACAUCUGUAUGUAGCCCGUACUGAAAUCUCUAAAAAGUCUUAUAUUUAGAAACGGAGGGAGUAUAUGCCAGUCAUUUCAAUUUGAAAAGACCAACUUAAACUUGAUUAUUCGAUGUUAUCUGAACAAAAUAAAUGAAUACACUAACAUCAUUUAGUUUGGGGCACAAUGGUUAAUGUGGUUAUGAUAAUCUCAACAUUUUCUUCUUUUUGUUGCACUCACUUCCUCAAUGUGUGAGUUACCCUGAGGUGUAGAUAACCGCAAUAAAUUUCUCAUUGAUUGGCUAUAUGAUUUGUGCUGGCACUCACAUUCUAGUUUAUCAUGCAUCUCUUGGUGAGUGGAGGUUACCGUUGGCGGUCCACAACUGCUACGUUUUGUAUAGAUGCCCUCCAAACUAACAAUCAUGUCCGUAAGCUAGAUGUGAUAAGAUGGAGGAUCGCCUCCCCCAUAGUAUGUUUUCUUAACUACGAUCCAAGUCCCAGCCAUUUCCGCUACAUCUCUAGAAGCUAAUUAUGCUGCAUAGCUUUAUUCAAUGUAUUAACUUACUGACAGUAUCAGUAAGGACCAAACAUUUUUUUCUUUUGAAAUACAGUAGCUUAAAUGAGAGUCGAAAUAGCCUUCUGUAGUCAUACUGUAUUUCUGAUUUACAUUGGACUUAGUACUUUAGCUAAUUAUAUAAUUACUGGACUAAUAAUUUAAAUGGACAUAUUUUCAGGAUGCGCAAGGAGCCAAGUCAGAAGUUUACAGUAAGUUUCCUUUCACAUUUACUACAUUGGUUUUGAAGCACAUCAGUAUCAUUUAGGAAGUCACUCUUUACUUGUGCGAGCUUCUCUUGAAUUUCAAUGAAUCUGUUUAAUAUGACAGUGUACAAAAAAGCAGAAGAAGUCGACUUUGACUUCAGCUGGAGGUUUAGAUCAAUCAAUGGCAGGAGCAUUAUGCCGUCACUUAGGGAUCAGGAAAGAGGUACAUGUCUAGACUGUCCUUUUUAUUUUCACUGUUUGAUUAUUAGUGCUGAAGUUGACAUUCACAGGGCAAUGUGCAUAUGCUUCAACGAUGUCAUGUACUGAAUCCCUUUACAAGAGGAAGAAUGCGGUUGUGAGGAUUGGUAGUGAAACUUAUCUGUCAAAGGAGUUCGUUCUGAAUCUCUCGCUGGAUCAUCUUCAAGAUUUAGUCACUUCAUUUUGUGCAACAAAUCGAAUAAAAGGUUUCAACACGCUUGAUUACUGUCUCGAAAGGAUGGUAGCUCAGGGUGUCAUAACUGAAGAAGCCUAUAACAGUGCAAAAGUGAACUUUCAUGUAUGUUUUCUGAUAUUUUGUGCACUCAACAGACUCUGAACUAGUUUUCUUUUUGCCUAGUAGUUAUUGAUUGUACCUCCGUCCCAAAAUAAGUGUCGCUGAUUAGUACAAAACUUUUGUACUAAAUCUGUAACACUUAUUUUGGGACGGAGGGAGUACAUGUCAUUUGUAUACCCAACAUCCUCUGAACUAGUUUUCUUUUUGUCUUGAGUUGUUAUUGAUACAUGUCAUUUGUACAACCCAACAUGCUCUGAACAGUUUUUUGUUUCGUCUGAAGUAGUUAUUGAUACAUGUUAUUUGUACACCCAACAUUGUCUUGAACAGUGCAUGACCUAUAAUGGUUGUUCUAUUGCAGAGUUUCCAAAGAUAUCGCAUAAAGGAAUUUGAGAAACCCAACACUCCCAAUGAUAUCUACGACAUUCCUAAGGGGGCAACAUUCGAAACAAAUCCUGCAGGGCAGGUCUCUUCCCAUUGCGUGGUGAUUGUUGGUUACGGCAGGACAAGUGAUGGGCUGUCAUACUAUAUCUUUCAAAAUUCGUACGGUAAAAAGUGGGGAGACGAUGGUUUUGGCCGAGUAGCUUGUAGUUGUCUCGAAUAUCUGUACCGUGCUAGUGUUUAGGUUAUCGAGUACUGCAGGAUGGUGCUCAUGUUAAAAGUGACACUGAUAUAGAAUACCCACGCUUUUUGUAAAGCAGCCAUCUGACAGGAGUUCUUGACAGCCCUCAUACAUGUGGUUGUAGAUGUUUCAGUUAUCACAGAUUUGGAGCCUCACUGUAAUGUCAGAUGUACUGAUGGAGAGCAAUAGGAGUAUCUUAUAGCAGAGUUGGAGCCUCACUGUAAUGUCUGCUUAAUUGCAGAGAGCUGCAGAACUUAUGUCAGUCAGUUGAAUUUAGCAAUGCCUUGUCUUUCAUUUUUCUGUACAUUCUAGCUGGUGAUUCCCAUUAUUGUGUUGAAUUUUAUGGAGCGUCCAACAGACUAGCAGGCUUGGCUGGCAGUAGGAUUUUUUAGUUAAAGAAGAAAUUAGCUUGUAUAUGUAAGGAUUUAUUUUGCGCUGUUAGAUAUAUAAUCGUUCUGUUUCCGUGAGAUUAAUGUCUGCUGCUUAUUCGUAUAAUCAAGUAAGAACAAUCACUUGUUGCUCAAACUUUGCUAAAAAGAAAACCUGUAGCUCAAACUCCUCUGUAUCCUCCUUUUAAAUAAAAUUAGUAAACUUACAAAUAGAUGUUCGCAUUGGACAAUAUAAGACAUAAAUUACAACGAAAGAGGCGAAAGACCGUUGCAACUUACAAAGAUGUAGUAGCAUUAAUCCACACCCUUUGUUUUGAAGCGCUAAUCACUACCGACUUGAUAAUACAGUGUGAAUUUUUUUGUGAACAAUCACGCAUGUGUAUUACGUGGAAUUACGUAUGUGUGAAAAUUCAUAACCAUAUACUUCCACACAUGGCGUACAGAAAAAAGCCAAAACGUAUUUUUAGGAUGGGCCAAUUUCUUUUGUUUGGCCGAAUUUUUCUUUUUUGUACAGCCUACAAAAUACAAAAAAAUCAAAUGAUUUUCACAAGCCAGUGAAAAAAGAUGUUUCCAUGGAAUUCUUUUCAAAUUGUUUUGAAACUUGAAAAUAUGACUUUUCAUUUUUUUUAAAUACCGAGCUCCCUGGAGCUCGGCCUUCAUUGGCAUUUUCCGAUGGCCACUGCUAGGCGCCGGGGCACCGGCCCAAAUUUGGGCCAUCGCACCGCAGCCCCACGAUGCGUGCGCCUCGGGUCGCACGAUUCAGCGCUCCUCUCCCGCAUCAUCCCCUCCUUCUUCCUCCUGUCUGCCUUCUUCUCCUGCAUCAUCAAUCGGAAAAAGGGAGCGACUACCGGGCGUCGGGGAGAGAAAAGCUGCGGCGAGCGCCGGCGACCCUCGCUGUAUUCCCCUCGCCGGAGAUGAGAGCGCCGCCGCACACACAGGCUCGCCGCCAUUGCAGACCCGCCAUGGCUCCUAGGGCAGGCCAUGGUAUGGUCCUCAAGCUCCCGAAGCCGUGCGACCCGGCUGCGGCCGGGGAUGCUGGAACCGUCCAGUCCCGGUGCUUCGACCGACGAGCACCCAACCCCCUGCUACAACCCCCUGCGACCGACGGAUUCAGAGAAAGCUUCAACCAUGAAAAAAGCUACAACCGGCGUAGAAGAAAAAACUUCAAACAUGGAAAAAAGCUUCAAGCGACAUCAAGAAAAGAUUAAACCGGUGUGAAAAAAAUGUUUCGAUCGGAAUGGGAAAAAGCUUCAGCCAUGGCAGAAAAGCUUCAAACAUGGAAAAAAAGCUUCAAGCGGCAUCAAGAAAAGAUUCAACCGGUGUGGAAAAAAUGUUUCGAUCGGAAUGGGAAAAAGCUUCAGCCAUGGCAUAAAAGCUUCAUCCGGUGUGGAAAAAAGCUUCAAACAUGGAAAAAAAGCUUCAAGCGGCAUCAAGAAAAGAUUCAACCGGUGUGAAAAAAUGUUUCUGAAUGGGAAAAAGUUUCAGCCAUGGCAGAAAAGCUUCAUCCGGUGUGGAAAAAAGCUUCCACCAUGAAGCUGUCAAAAAACGAGUAUUAGUGAGAGCUACGUGGCGACGGCGAAAGCUGCAACGAUCGUUGAUGAGAGCUACAAGCGGCUAUGGAAAAAGCUUCAAUGGUUGCAGCUCUGGCAUGGUAGGUUGCAGCUCCGGCGUGGCUGGGUCCGGCAAGGCAGAGCUCCGGUGAGGCGGAUCCAAGCAGAUCUGGCCGAGGGCCGCUAGAUCGGCUGAUUCCCAUGGUCGUGGCACCCUGGGAGGCCUGCAGGCAGUGAUGGUAAACCAUGGCGGCAGGGCCUGAGAAGGAAGCAAAGAAGGAGCAAGGUGAAUGAGCGGCAAAGAAGAGAAAAAAAGGAAGGAGAAGGAUAGGAGGGAUGUAUGCGUGCGGGCUCUUUGACCGCGUGGCGCGUGUGUGGACGCGUGACCGGCCGAACGCUCGGCCGGUGCGCCGUUCCCUUUUCACACCAAGUAAGGAGAAUAUCUCGCACCAAGUAAAAUCUGAAAUACUGCGACUCCCAGUCCAGGUUUAAAAUACGCAAAUCAGGAGUUUCUUAGGACACAUCAUCCUAUACUCAUUCAGUUACAAUAAUUUAUUACGCCGAUUCGAGCAUAAUUUUAGUUAAUAUUAAAGAUACAUAUUACAAUAACAUGUCACAUGCAUCACCUGUUGCUACAACGGCACUUCUCUAAAAGGAACUUGCUUGUCAUAGACCUUCAGCAUAUAGUAGACCAAGACCAAACAGAUUAGUUGGUGGAUAGAUUCCUCUCAUCACAUAAAACAGUCAUCAUCACUGUCCAGCUCCUCCAAGUGAAAAAUCAUCUCAUUAUGUCCACCCAAGUAGCCACUGCCCGAGGGAUGCCUAAGCUCCUUUGCUCGAUCAUCGCACCCAAAACAAUGACCUUGUUGAUGCGUGGAAAAAUAUAUGUAUACAUUAGCACAUGAUAUGACUAACGGAAAAUCAUGGAGAUUCCACCAAGUAUAUAGUUACCAACUUACCAUAAUUGUUUUCUUCCAAAGGUGUGCAGAGAACAACAUCCUCUUCCUGUGUGCAGUCAGGUCGCAUCUCAGCAAAGAACAUAGUAUGUUUGCCAUCUGAACCUUUCACCAGAAAGUUGGAGUGCACAUAUAGUGCUGCGCAUCCAUCGACUUGAUUCCUCUCUUUCUCUUCCACAAAUUCCAACUCAGAGAGCUGAAAUAGAAGCGGUCGACACAUGUGAGUAUAACAGACCGGUCAGCAGUAAAUCGCAUGACUUGCAUGGAUGUUCUAGCCAACCAUGAGUAGUAAAAAUAAUGAACUACAACAGCAGUUUAGUUCCAUAAUAACUCAAACACACCUUAAUACGGGUCGUUAAGCAAAAAACGCAAGCAAACAUAAAUAUUUGAUUAUGAUUUAUUUUGGCAUACCUGAAUGUUGUUUCGCUUGGCAUACGUGUUGAGCGCUAUGACCAAGCCCUUGCGCUUACGCUCUUGUCUGCGUUUCAGCUGCUCAUCAGGGGACGGCGACUUGGGCCUGAGACUGAACUGACGUUUGGCGUCAGCUACCCACAGAUCACCAAACUCCUUGAGAGUAAUCGAUGAUGGUCUAGGAAUGGGACCAUCCCCUAUCUGCAGUCUGGCAGAGCCGUCACUGCAUGCAUGGACAUAGAGGAAUUAUGAUGUAAAAUCUAAGGCUUAUUUUGUUUGGUCUAAGAAGAAAAAAAAAUCACUGUAUGGAUACUAAUCUAUUGGCAUUCACCUUAUGUCAUAUGUUUCAUCAAGCUCUUGAUUGCAUCUUAAGUUCUUCAAAUAUUAUUGAUUCCUUCAUACUAGAUCAAAUGUGAAGUACGAUAUCCCCAAAGUUGCAUAUAUGAAUCCACACACACAAAAAAGUACUGUCUGCAUACGUACAUCCAAAAUUCUCCAGAAACACAACAGGUUGCGUUGGCGGACGAAAUGGCCACCGACCGAUCGACCACUCCUGCUUCAGAUCAGAUAUAAUUAACAGCAGGAAUAAGCGAAACCCCUUUGGGGGUGGCGGAUCCCCACCGGGUAAAUCACAAGGACGGCGGUACCUGUACUGUAACUGGAGCGAGAUAUGGAGAGGGCGGGUGGUGAGGAAGGAGGAGAUCGCCGGCGGUGAGAUCAAACCGCCUCCGCCGCCGACACCUAGAUGGAUUUCUCUGUUGCCUUUUCUUUCCUCUUUUUUUAUCUUUUUUUUGAGGGUUAGUUGUCUUAUCUAAAGGAAGAGGAAGACUUGUAGUAGUACUAUAAGAAGAUCCACGCUGGGUAGCCCAUCGGCCCAGCCCAGUUCGGUCUGCUUUUCCGAAAAGGCCUCGGCCUGGUGGAGUGGACUGGAGAACGCGUUUAGCGCUGGCAAAAACGGUUGCGACGGCUGUGCGCGGAAAUUUUGAUCAUUUCUUAAAUAUAGUAUAUGAUGAAUUUGUUUCCAAACACAUGUUUUGAAAAGAAAAUAGAUACGUGCUAAAUAUUUUUCAAAUACAUUGUGUUUUUCUAAAAUUUCAUGAUAUAUUUUUGAAACACAUCAACAUUUUUUAAAAUAUCACGUGAAUGAUUUUUUUGAAUUGUGAAAACAUGUUUUUUACAUUGUAUAACAUUUAAAAACUGCAUGAUUUUUUUAUGAAAUGUGUGAACGUUGUUUUGAAUGAUAUCCAUAUUUUUUAAAAUACACAGGAGAAUUUUUUUAAUACCGCAUGAACAUUUCUUGAACACGCAAUGAUAUAUUUUUAAUUUAAAUGGUAGUACCAUAUUUCAGAAAUGUAUUGCUUUAAAAAAAUACCUGUAACUAUUGACACCGAUAACAAUUACAGGUACACUGCUUUGGACCUAAGAUCCAAAAAAAGAUAAAAUAAUUCCUAUGACUAAGAAUCACAAUGAAACUUUUUGUAAACACCUUCUUCGCGGUAUCAAUCUCUGCUCAAAUAAAUACUCCAAAGACUUCGGUAAUGAGGCUGCAAUUAGACUGGAGGAACGAUGUUGUCAGCAUCAAGAAGGGCGUGGCUUCGCUGAAGCGUGGAGUCCAGACAACCCAGUUUGGGCCGGCCCACGGCCACUUCGCUCUUUUUUCCUUUUUCUGGUCUUUUCUUUUCUUAUUUUUCUGUUUCUAUUUCUUUUACUUUAUUUUCCAUUUUAUUAUUUUUUGUGUAUUAUAAAAAAUUCAUUGCAUAUUACAAUUUUUUCAUCAUAUAUUAAGAAAAUGUUCACAGUAUACUAAAAAAUGUCCAUCAUGCAUUAUAAAAAAGUUUACCGUAUAUUAGAAAUUGUUCAAAAAUUAUGCAAAUGUUCACUGUGUGUUUUGAAAUUUGUUCAACAUAUAUUACACAAAUGUUCAAUGUAUUAAAAAAUUGCUCAACGUAUAUUACAAUAUGUACAAUGCGUAUUCGAAAAUUGUUCAAUGUAUAUAAUCACGUUUUUUCAACAAUGUUCAUCGUAUAUAAAAAAGAUUCAUCGUGUAUUUUUACAAUGUUCAUUGUAUAUCAAGAAAAUUUCCAUCGGAUAUUAAGAAAAUGUUCAAUGUGUAUUUUUAAAAUAAAAACCGAACAAAAAACCGCCCGAUAUAGUAAACUGGAUGCUACAGUAUGGGCCGUUACAGUAAACCCGACGCGACACUCAAACCAACUAAAAACGGAGAGAAAAUGAAAUAAAAUAUCGCUCACAGGGAGAGUGGGCCGGCCAAGCGCGUGCGCCCGUGGGAAGUUCCCUCCUUUUGACGCACGCGGGCGUUACACAGCCACACAGGUGUUCUUGUCUAAGACGACGUGAAACAAAGCACUGCCCCCGGGUGGGUACGUAUGUGUGUACAGGUUCCGCCACAGAGAGGAGAAACAUUGGUCAAAAUUAUGAAGUAUAGUUUCAGCCAAAAGUUUGCAUGUGUUCUAUUUCUUUUUUGAGAUGUAAGUUCGUAUGUUUCUUUGCGAAAAGUUCUCUUCCAGCAGGGGAUGUUCUACUUGAGAGGAAUAUGGCCACGAUAAGUAGUUGUGCAGUUUGCGGGGAAGAUGAGUCAUGGCGUCACUCCCUGCUAGAGUGCACCAUGCAACGUUGUAGACGGAAACAAAAAAAUGUCUAUUGAAUAUUGAGUUGAAGUUGUAGAGCUUGAAGACUCAUGAAGCCACCACGGGCACCUCGGUAUAGAUGGGAACACCUCCUCUCACAGGAAGACAAUUCGCAUUAAUGAGACACCAAAACUUGAGGUCUGAUCUCUGGUGUGGCUGGGGUACCUCUUGUCGGAGUCAAUUUCGGUGAAUCUCGGAUAAGGGGUCCCGAUCUCUAGCCUAAGUACGAUGGUAGCAAGAGAUGCAAGGUUUUUUUAACCCAGGUUCAGGCUCUUUCGAAGAGAUAAUACUCUACAUUCCUGCUUUAGUUGUAGUGACUGGGGUGAAAUACAAAGUACAUGUGUUUCUACCACGAGAUUUUAUGUGUCCUCUAUGCGCCCUACCCCUGGUUUAUAUAGGCACCAAGGGGUCUAGGGUUACAGAUAUGUCAGCUACGUAUUUGGUAGAUCGUGGUGUAGAUGACUUUUGAUCUUGGAGUGCGCGCGCCAAGCCUUCGGGAAUCCAUCUUGUGUACUCCGUGGGUCGUUUGGGUGUGGCCUAUUAGUGAAUCGCCUGGGAGCUCCUUUGCCCGGCACACUGGUCGGGAGACGACGCGGUGAGUACACCAUUAGUAGCCCCUGAACCGGUCUUAGAAGUUAGGGACACUCCUCGGUUCUUUCUGUAAAGGCCUUGGCUUGGGGUGGAUUGUCUGGAGGCACGCCAUUUUGGGCCGGCCCACAGUCACGUCAUUCUUUCUUCAUUUUUCUGGUUUUUUCUUUUCUUAUUUUUCUGUUUCUGUUUCUUUUAUUUUGUUUUCCAUUUUUUUUAUUUUCAUGUAAUAUAAAAAGUUCAUUGUGUCUUACAACUUUUUUCAUCAUAUAUUAAGAAAAUGUUCACAACAUACUAUAAAAUGUCCGUCAUGCAUUAUAAAAAUGUUCAUAGUAUAUUAGAAACUGUUCAAAAAUUAUGCGAAUGUUCACUGUGGGCGUGUUUGGUUGCUCGUAUGCAGCCCAACCAGGCCCGCGCGGGAUGUGCGCGGCCUGUUUGGUUGCCUGGGCUGCAUGCGGUUUGUGGCCCGCACGGACCUUAAAGCAGCCCGCAGCUUGGCCCGGCGUCGGCAGUUUCUCGCGAGCCUGGCUGGGCGCGGCCAUGCGUGCGAGGUAGUUGCACGCCUCGGGCAGCGCGGGAGACGGAGGGGACGUCUCAUAACUCGCCCCCACUCUCUUCUCACCGCCCCAGUCGCACUGUUCCCACCGCUCCCUCUCUCCCUCACCGCCCCUCCCUCUCCUCUCCUCCGAUGGCUCCGCCUCGUCCACCGCCGCGCCGUCCUCUGACCCCCGUCGACCAGUGCAUCGCCAGCAUCCAGGAGCGCUGGCUGUCCGGGCUCCAGAACUCGGGCCGGGACCUAGCGUCGGCGCUGCGAGCGCCGUCCCCCAUCUGCUGCCGGCCACCACCAGCACCGGCCAAUGCGGUGCCGGCUGUUCCUGCUCCGCCGCUGAUUCCGGACCUCAUGGUCCAGGGCUCGGCGCCGGCGCCGUCGAGGGAGCUGCCGCUUGUUGGGACCCCAUUGGGCAGGGGGGUUUUCUUGACCCUCAUCCAAGAGUUUUCUCCUAUCGGUGGGCCGUCCUCCUCGACCUCCGGCGUGGCGAUGAGCACAGGGCCGAUGCCGCAGGCUGUCGCCAGGGACGGCCCCUCCUCUGCUCCGCCACCUCUCUCCUUCCCUUCGGGGUUUUCACCCCGGCCUCGGUUCGCUGCGACUGCGCGUGCUCCGGUGAGUCAAACCCCCUAAAUGCUUGCUCGUAGAUGUAGAUUAGGGGUUUAUUUCUUAGGCAUGUGCUAGUAGUUAGUGGAUUCGACAGGAUUAGAUAGGAUUCGAGUAGAUCCGAUUGGAUGCGAUCCCAAUCGAAUCCAAUCGGACCGAUCUAUUCUUGUUUCGUAUAGUGUGUGUCCUAGGAUAAUUUUCUUCUGCUACUGCUAGUGUGUCCUAGGAUCUGUGUUCAUGGGCAGAAAACACAUAUUUGACCUGUGGACAAAAACAAUUCAAAAUUUGAACUGCUUUAAAAAAAAAUUCACGCUGCUGACCCUUUCGAGUGGCGCCCGACAGCAAGGCGCCGCACCCUACUGUGCAGCGCCUUUGUCUAAGGCGUCGCAUAUUUAGCCAACAUGGCAGCCCGGGCCCAGGCGCGGCCCCACAGACAGCAGUGCAGCGCCUAUCUCUUGGGCGCCACACUUGUAAUGUGCAACACCUUGCCCUUAGGCGCUGCACUGUCUGUUUGCCACUUUGGCUGGCCCCACCCCCUCACCCCACCCGAGACACCCCCACCCCACCCACAAGCUGAAGCAAAGGGCCCCUCUCUCUCCCCUUUCCCCCCUCUCCUCCUCUCAAAUCCUUCUNNNNNNNNNNNNNNNNNNNNNNNNNNNNNNNNNNNNNNNNNNNNNNNNNNNNNNNNNNNNNNNNNNNNNNNNNNNNNNNNNNNNNNNNNNNNNNNNNNNNNNNNNNNNNNNNNNNNNNNNNNNNNNNNNNNNNNNNNNNNNNNNNNNNNNNNNNNNNNNNNNNNNNNNNNNNNNNNNNNNNNNNNNNNNNNNNNNNNNNNNNNNNNNNNNNNNNNNNNNNNNNNNNNNNNNNNNNNNNNNNNNNNNNNNNNNNNNNNNNNNNNNNNNNNNNNNNNNNNNNUUAAGGUAAUCUCCUCCGAUCCCCUUGUUAUCAUCCAUAGGAAUUGUCACAUUUGCUCAAAUCUGGCUAGUUUGGGGAAACCCUAGUUUUGGCUUGGAUUUGGAAAUUUGUCUUCAAACAUGUUAUGUUUCUUUGCUAAUUUGGUAGGGUUAGGUUACAUACUAUGCUAGCGUUAGGGUUAUGUGUGUUUUUAUGUUGGGGUUAGGGUUAUGCUAUUGUCAGGGUUGUUGUUAUUGUUAAGUGGGGGUUAGGGUUGUUGUUUCAUAUCUAUGUUAGGGCUUAUGUAUUUUGUGCAAAUACUUGGUUAAGUACUUACUUGAUAUAUGUGUGUUUUUUACUAUUGUAGGGAUGGGAAGAACAUGUGUUUAUGUUCAUCAUGUGGAUAAAGAGGCCUUUUUGAAAGGCAAUGUUGAGCCGGACCCGGAUGAGCUCGACAUGGUGUUUGAGAGUAGUCCUAGCUAUGCGGAGCUCUUGGAACAAGUGAGGAAGGAUUUGAAUUGGAUGGACCCAAGUGACAUUGUUGAGUUCGAGGGAAGGCAUAAUGUUGGUUUUGGAAUGCACAUCCUUUGGAAGACAAUGCGUGUGAACUCCGAGCAACGUUGGGUUGCAUACAAGGAGGCGCUCGCCGAAUCUCUAGACAAGGCUCUUGAGUUAUUUGCCUCCAAGAAGGUUGAGCCUACUUUGCAUUUGGACUUGAACCGGAACCCCUCCCCGUUGGUUGCUAGCACUCCCCCACCCAUGAACCAAGAUCAAAUGAGUGAACCUCAUUUCACGCAACAAGAUUGGCCAACAUUGAGCCCGACUCCAAACAACCAAAAUGAAGCUUUUGAAGAGGAGAAUGAUGAGUACGAGGAGGAUGACAACGAAGUUGAUCUCCAUGACAACAAUGUGGGUGAUCUCGACCAAUAUCAUAUGCAAGAGACAAUGGACCAAUCCAUCCCUUUUUCCCGUGCAUAUGCAUCAGAGUCGGAUGACGAUGGUCCCAAUGAAGAAGUUGAUGAGGAGGGGUUCACGCCGAAGGAGGCCCAAGCAUUCAAGAAGGUAUUCGGGCGGGAUCACAAGACACCAUUGUUCAAGGAUCUUAGUCUCGCGGAUGCAGCUGUUGUGGAUGGUGGCAAAUGCAUAUCUCUUGGAGCUAGGCCAAGUUCUCACCGUGAUUUGGAAGAUGGCAAGAACGAGAGAUUUCCCGGUUGUGAGUUUGAUUCUUUCUUGGAAUUGAAGAUGUGGCUCGACAACUACUCGGUUACGCAUUAUCGUCCACAUAGAGUGGCCAACUCGGACGUCAAUGUGUGUUACACGAUUAAGUGUGAAGUGCCAAGAUGUCCAUGGAUUGUGCGUGCAAGGCCAUGGUAAGGAGGUCCCACUUGGUGCAUAGUGAGUUGUCUACCAACUCACAUGUGCCGUCACAAGAAUGCAGAUGGCGAGCUUGUGUACCAACAACACAGACAACUCACGUCCGAGUUCAUCGCUUACAGGCUUUCCAACCAAAUAUCCACACUUCCAACAAUGAGCAUUAAGAGUGUCAUUGACAUUGUGAAAGCCAUCUUUCAUUACAAGAUCAAGUACGACAAGGCAUGGAAGGCGAAGCAAGCCGCAUUCAAGAUGUUAUAUGGCAAUUGGGAGGAAGCAUACAACCGACUCCCUAGGUUGUUGUUAGCUAUGGCCGCCACAAACCCAGGCAUGGCUCAUGUGGUCGAGCCUCAUGGGCACCAAACAUUGAUUCACAACGGGAGGACCGUGCGAGUAUUUGGCCGUGCAUUAUGGGCCUUUGAGCAAUGCGUGAGGGCUUUUGAGCAUUGUCGGCCCAUCAUCGCCAUUGAUGGCACGUUCUUGACCGGACAAUACAAGGGCACUCUGUUGGUUGCAAUAACAAGUGAUGCCAAUAACCGGGUGUUGCCUUUGGCUUUCGCUUUGGUUGAGGUGGAGAACAAUGAUAACUGGGAGUGGUUCUUGCGUCAAUUGAGAUCAAGGGUAUUACCGGCUGAAAGGGAAAUUUGUGUCAUAUCAGAUCACCAUCCAGGAAUUCUAAACAUGGUUGUGGUUGACAUUCCCAGACAUACAAAGUUGCACCAUCGAUGGUGCAUGAGGCACUUUUGUGCAAACUUCUAUAGGGCAUGUGGUAUCAAGGAGUUGGCCGAUCAUCUUCAAGAUUGUUGUCUCGCUUUCUUCGACAAGCGGUUUGCCACAUUGUUCAAUGCAUUGCUCAGACACAAGAAACUUGACCCCGGUGGUCUUGAAUUUCUCAAUAGGAACAUUGUCGAAAGGAAUAUGUGGGCACGUGCUUUCGAUGAAGAUGGCUGGAGGUACGGUCAAAUGACAAGCAACAUGGCAGAAUGCUUCAAUAAGGUGCUCAAGGGUGUACGUGCAUUACCCGUGACGGCAAUAGUUCAAUACACCUUUGACAAGAUGAAUGCGUACUUUUUAAAGUACUCAAUGGAGACGAGUAAGCAGAUUGCUGGUGAGAACAAGGAAAAGCACAAGUAUAAUUUCCCACCAAAGGUGAAGAAUGGUUGGAAUUUCAAUCACGAAAGGCAGACUCCCAAGAAGCUGUUCUAUAUGACGACAACGAGUGGAAGUAUGAAGUGAAAGAGCCUGGAGGAACCUCAAACGAUGGCCACCAACACGGAGGCCGCGCGUUCAAGGUCUCCCUAACACGGUGUGAUUGCAGCUGCAUGAGGCCAUCGUUGCUUCAUCUUCCAUGCUUGCACUUGUUAAACACAACCCAUGUUAGGAAUGUUGACGUCAAUCACCCUCUUACUGUGCGGGAGUCCGAGUUAUCAAUCAUGACGGUAAAGAAUACAUGGGCUCCCCGGUUUGAGUCGUACUUGGACCAAUCACAAUGGCCGGAGUAUCAUGGAGUUCAACUAUGGCCGGACCCAUAAUUGAAGGUCGUUAGACGGGGAAGACGUAAGACAAAGCGUCUUAGAGGUGACAUGGACGGAUGGGGCCGCGGUGGCGGUGGAGAAUACAGCACCGACCAAUUCCAAGAGCCUCGUGAGCAAUCCUAUUGUGGGGACUGCAGUCAUGGGGGACACAACAUAAGAACUUUUCCCAAACCAAGAAAGAGAUCAAAGAAAAAUGAUGGAAGCACAAGCCAAGCAAAUGAUGGCCAACCAAGGAGUAGCCAACCAAGUCAAACAAGUGCCCAAUUGCCAAACCAAUCAAGUCAAACAAGCCAACGAGGAACUAGGCAACAAAGAGGGACUCAACUAGGUCUUAGAAGAGGCCGUGGUGAUGGUCUUGGCCGUGCUGGUGGUAGAGGCCGUGGUGAUGGUCUUGGCCUUGGUGGUGGUAGAGGCCGUGGUGAUGGUCUUGGCCUUGGUCAAGGUCUAGGCCAUGGUGAUGGUGUUGGUCGUGGUGGUGGUGGUAGAGGCCGUGGUGAUGGUCUUGGCCUUGGUCAAGGUCUAGGCCGUGGUGGUGGUGUUGGCCGUGGUGGUGGUAGAGGCCGCGGUGGUGGUCUAGGCCGUGGUGGUGGUAGAGGCCAUGGUGAUCUUGGCCUUGGCGGCCGCCGUAGUGGAGGAAUGUUCACUUGGUUCAACGGACCAUUGCCGUAUGUGACUUACUAUGAUCUUGUUAUUUUGGCUCAAUGUUUGUGUUGUCAUUUUGCAUUGUGUGACUAACUAUUACAUUUCCAUUUUCGUAGGUAUGGAAACAAUGAAGGGGGUGGAGGACACGGAGGGGAAAGGUGAGAUUCCUUAGUGGUGGGAGGAGGAAGAAGAAGAAGAAGAGAGGAAGAAGAAGAAGAAGGGACAUUGCUAUGAGUCCUAAAUGUGUGAUACUAUGUGCUAUGAGUCCUAAAUGACUAUGUGUUUUGGCUCAAUGUUUGUGUUGCAUUGUGUAUGACUAUGUGAUUGGGCUACUCAAUGUGCUAUGUGUGUAUGACUAUGUGAUUUGGACCACUCUAUGUGCUAUGUCUUCUUUCUGUGUUUUGGACUACUACAUGUGAUUUGGAUAUGAUUAUGUGCCAUCUAUGUGAACCACAAAACAUAAACAUCACUUGGUAUUUGAAAACAACAGAUGAUGCAGCGCCCAGCUCCUGAGCGUCACACAAUAUAGUGCAGCGCCUUACACAUGGGCACUACACACUGACUUAGCGAUUUUUGGGCUGGAAAGUUACUCGAAGUGUUCUGUUGCUCUCUGGACUGGCAUGUCCAGUCGUGCAGCACCCAUGGGAGAGGCGCUGCACUAUUUAGUGUGGCGCCUAGGCCUUGGGCGCUGCACACCUGGACAUGCCAGUCUAGAGAGCAACAGAGCAGUUCCCGUAGCUUUUGCACCCCAAAAAUUGCUAAGUCAGAGUGCAGUGCCUACGGGCAAGGCACCACACUAGACAGUGCAGCGCCCGACAGCUGGGCGCUGCACUGUCUAGUGUGGNNNNNNNNNNNNNNNNNNNNNNNNNNNNNNNNNNNNNNNNNNNNNNNNNNNNNNNNNNNNNNNNNNNNNNNNNNNNNNNNNNNNNNNNNNNNNNNNNNNNNNNNNNNNNNNNNNNNNNNNNNNNNNNNNNNNNNNNNNNNNNNNNNNNNNNNNNNNNNNNNNNNNNNNNNNNNNNNNNNNNNNNNNNNNNNNNNNNNNNNNNNNNNNNNNNNNNNNNNNNNNNNNNNNNNNNNNNNNNNNNNNNNNNNNNNNNNNNNNNNNNNNNNNNNNNNNNNNNNNNNNNNNNNNNNNNNNNNNNNNNNNNNNNNNNNNNNNNNNNNNNNNNNNNNNNNNNNNNNNNNNNNNNNNNNNNNNNNNNNNNNNNNNNNNNNNNNNNNNNNNNNNNNNNNNNNNNNNNNNNNNNNNNNNNNNNNNNNNNNNNNNNNNNNNNNNNNNNNNNNNNNNNACCCCACACACCGCACCCCCCACACAAACCUGAAGCUCAGUGCCUCCCCUCUGCCCUCCUCUCUCCCCCUCUCAAAUCCUUCUCAGAUCCGGAGAUAUUGUCCGUGGAUAUCGAAGCCAACCCCUCCCUUAAGGUAAUCUCAUCCGAUCCCCUCAUUUUCAUCAAUAGGAAUUGUCACAUUUGAUCAAAUCUUGCUACUUUGGGGAAACCCUACUUUUGGCUUGGAUUUGGAAAUGUGUGUUGAAUCAUGUUAUGUUUCUUUGCUAAUUAGGUAUGGUUAGGCUUCAAACUAUGGUAGGGUUAGGGUUAUGUGUGUUUGAUUUUGGUGUUAGGGUUAUGGUUAUUGUUAAGUGGGGGUUAGGGUUAACCAAGAAUUCUCAGUUUUGUAGGCAUGGCUUCAUCCGGUUCCAUGACGAGGCCACUGUGUGCUAACCAAGAAGACAUGCCGAACAAGUGGGAGGACGCAUCUUUGGACAAGGUGAAGGAGAAAGAUGUCAACAUCCCGCCAUGUUGGUGUGGAGAUGUUUGCAAGGUGAAGGUGUCCACCGACCGAAAGAAAUCAUGGACGGAAGGGCGGAGAUAUUUUGUAUGCCCGAACUAUGCUUAUGAUCGUGCACUUCCAACUAACGCCUAUGACCAACCAUCGGUAAGCUCAAGAAGUAAAAUGUUACUCUCAAAUGUGUGUCAACACUAACAAAAAAUUUGUAUGCAGUCACCGCCUCCUCUAUGCAAGUACUUCACAUGGAUAGAUCUUGAAGUGCCAGAAGAUGUCCAAAAGGACCAAUACCAAGAUUGUCUUAGGCGGCAACGGUGGUUCGAAGAAUCGUUUCAAAGAGGCUUGGAGGAAGAGUGUCGUCAGAAGGAGAGGAUGGAGCGAAAGAAACGAGAGGAGGAGAGGGCGCGCCAAGCGAAACUUGCUCGUGAGGAGGAGAGGGCAAGAAAGCUUUCAAAGGCUUGCGAGGCGCAAGAGGAGGACUCGGCAUGUGACAAGAAGGGGAAAUGGCCUCUCUCUACUCAGUAGGGACUUCGCUUCGGUGCACUCAUCGUCAACUAUCUUCUAAUGAAUGUGUCGUGAACUUGUGAGGUUAUGUGAGAUGUUGGUGAACUUUCUUCUAGGGCAAGCUGCCAUUUGUCAUUUGUAAUGAAUGUCUCGUGAACCAUGUGUUUGUUCUUAAGUUAUGAACUCAUCGGCAUAAAAUUUGUGUUUGUUCAAAUUGUUGUGAUGCUCCAGUGAUUGUAAGUAUUAUGAUGUUCCCGUGAAUUGAAAUUGCUGUAAACUCUGUUUUUCGAGUAAACAGCAGUGCAACGCCCAGAACAUAGGCGCUGCACACUAUGGUACAACACCCAAGGGAAAGGCGUCGCACAGUAAAGUGCAGCGCCAGUGGCACACUGGCUUAGCAAUUUUCGUGUAUGGUCAGUGUUGCAAGUCUUCUAUGGUUCUCUGGAUAGCCAUGCCCAGUUGUGCAGCACCUAGGGGACGGGCGCUGCACUGUAUAGUGCAGCGCCUCAGCGUUGGGCGCUGCACACUACAGUGCAGCGCCUCACUGUUGGGCGCUGCAGUGCUGUUAACUGCUAAACUGCAGAAACAGAUGCCAUUUUAGCUACAAACUGAACUCACAAGUACAUCACAUAAUUUGGCUGCAAACUGAACUCAAAAAGAGAACUAAUAAUUUGAACAUCACAUAAUUUAGGACAAUUCACCAUCACUACAAGUGUUGGAAAUAUGCCCUAGAGGCAAUAAUAAAAGGAUUAUUAUUAUAUUUCCUUGUUCAUGAUAAUUGUCUUUUAUUCAUGCUAUAAUUGUGUUAUCCGGAAAUCGUAAUACAUGUGUGAAUACAUAGACACCAACAUGUCCCUAGUAAGCCUCUAGUUGACUAGCUCGUUGAUCAAUAGAUAGUCAUGGUUUCCUGACUAUGGACAUUGGAUGUCAUUGAUAACGAGAUCACAUCAUUAGGAGAAUGAUGUGAUGGACAAGACCCAAUCCUAAACUUAGCACAAGAUCAUAUAGUUCGUUUGCUAGAGUUUUUCCAAUGUCAAGUAUCUUUUCCUUAGACCAUGAGAUCGUGUAACUCCCGGAUGCCGUAGGAGUGCUUUGGGUGUACCAAACGUCACAACGUAACUGGGUGACUAUAAAGGUAUACUACGGGUAUCUCCAAAAGUGUCUGUUGGGUUGACACGGAUCAAGACUGAGAUUUGUCACUCCGUAUAACGGAGAGGUAUCUCUGGGCCCACUCGGUAAUGCAUCAUCAUAAUGAGCUCAAAGUGACCAAGUGUCUGGUCACGGGAUCAUGCAUUACGGUACGAGUAAAGUGACUUGCCGGUAACGAGAUUGAACGAGGUAUUGGGAUACCGACGAUCGAAUCUCGGGCAAGUAACGUACCGAUUGACAAAGGGAAUUGUAUACGGGGUUGCGUGAAUCCUCGACAUCGUGGUUCAUCCGAUGAGAUCAUCGAGGAGCAUGUGGGAGCUAACAUGGGUAUCCAGAUCCCGCUGUUGGUUAUUGACCAGAGAGCUAUCUCGGUCAUAUCUACAUGUCUCCCGAACCCGUAGGGUCUACACACUUAAGGUUCGGUGACGCUAGGGUUGUAGAGAUAUGAAUAUGCAGUAACCCGAAAGUUGUUCGGAGUCCCGGAUGAGAUCCCGGACGUCAUGAGGAGUUCCGGAAUGGUCCGGAGGUGAAGAAUUAUAUAUAUGAAGUGCAGUUUCGUCCAUCGGGAGAGUUUCGGGGGUCAGCGGUAUUGUACCGGUACCACCGGAAGGGUCCCGGGGGUCCACCGGGUGGGGCCACCCAUCCCGGAGGGCCCCAUGGGCUGAAGUGAGGAGGGGAACCAGCCCAUAGUGGGCUGGUGCGCCCCCUUGGCCCACCCCCUGCGCCUAGGGUUGGAAACCCUAGGGUGGGGGGCGCCCCCCCACUUGCCUUGGGGGCUACUCCACCCUUGGCCGCCGCCCCCCUAGGAGAUGCCAUCUCCUAGGGCCGGCGCCCCCCUAGGGGAGCCUAUAUAAAGGGGGGGAGGGAGGGGUAGCCGCACCCUUGAGUCUUGGCGCCUCCCUCUCCCCUGCUACACCUCUCCCUCUCGUAGUAGAACGGCGAAGCCCUGCUGCGGUGACCCCUGCAUCCACCACCACGCCGUCGUGCUGCUGGAUCUUCAUCAACCUCUCCUCCCCCUUGCUGGAUCAAGAAGGAGGAGACGCCACGCUGACCGUACGUGUGUUGAACGCGGAGGUGCCGUCCGUUCGGCGCUAGGAUCUCCGGUGAUUUGGAUCACGUCGAGUACGACUUCCUCAUCCCCGUUCUUUGAACGCUUCCGCGCGUGAUCUACAAAGGUAUGUAGAUGCAAUCCGAUCACUCGUUGCUAGAUGAACUCAUAGAUGGAUCUUGGUGAAACCGUAGGAAAUUUUUUGUUUUCUGCAACGUUCCCCAACAGUGGCAUCAUGAGCUAGGUCUAUGCGUAGUUCUCUUUGCACGAGUAGAACACAAUUUGUUGUGGGCGUAGAUGUUGUCAACUUUCUUGCCGCUACUAGUCUUAUCUUGCUUCAACAGUAUUGUGGGAUGAAGCGGCCCGGACCAACCUUACACGUACGCUUACGUGAGACCGGUUCCACCGACUGACAUGCACUAGUUGCAUAAGGUGGCUGGCGGGUGUCUGUCUCUCCCACUUUAGUUGGAGAGGAUUCAAUGAAAAGGGUCCUUAUGAAGGGUAAAUAGAAGUUGACAAAUCACGCUGAGAAAACAUUCUUGCUAGAACCCUAUUGCAGCCACGUAAAACUUGCAACAACAAUUAGAGGACGUCUAACUUGUUUUUGCAGCAAGUGUUUUGUGAUGUGAUAUGGCCAAAGUUGUGAUGAAUGAUGAAUGAUAUAUAUGUGAUGUAUGAGAUGUUCAUGCUAUUGUAAUAGGAAUCACAACUUGCAUGUCGAUGAGUAUGACAACCGGCAGGAGCCAUAGGAGUUGUCUUUAUUUUUUGUAUGACCCGCGUGUCAUUGAGAAACACCAUGUAAAUUACUUUACUUUAUUGCUAAACGUGUUAGCCAUAGUAGUAGAAGUAAUAGUUGGCGAGCAACUUCAUGGAGACACGAUGACGGAGAUCAUGAUGAUGGAGAUCAUGGUGUCAUGCCGGUGACAAGAUGAUCAUGGAGCCCCAAGAUGGAGAUCAAAGGAGCUAUGUGAUAUUGGCCAUAUCAUGUCACUAUUAUUAUUUGAUUGCAUGUGAUGUUUAUCAUGUUUUUGCAUCUUGUUUACUUAGAACGACGGUAGUAAAUAAGAUGAUCCCUCAUAAUAAUUUCAAGAAAGUGUUCCCCCUAACUGUGCACCGUUGCGACAAUUCGUUGUUUCGAAGCACCACGUGAUGAUCGGGUGUUAGAUUCCAAAGUUCACAUACAACGGGUGUAAGACAGAUUUACACAUGCAAACACUUAGGUUGACUUGACGAGCCUAGCAUGUACAGACAUGGCCUUGGAACACAGAAGACCGAAAGGUCGAGCAUGAGUCGUAUAGAAGAUACGAUCAACAUGAAAAUGUUCACCGAUGUUGGCUAGUCCGUCUCACAUGAUGAUCGGACACGGCCUAGUUAACUCGGAUCAUGUUAUACUUAGAUGACUGGAGGGAUGUCUAUCUGAGUGGGAGUUCAUUGAAUAAUUUGAUUUUGAUGAACUUAAUUAUCAUGAACUUAGUCUAAAAUCUUUACAACAUGUAUUGUAGAUCAAAUGGCCAACAUUGUCCUCAACUUCAACGCGUUCCUAGAGAAAACCAAGCUGAAAGACGAUGGCAGCAACUAUACGGACUGGGUCCGAAACCUGAGGAUCAUCCUCAUAGCUGCCAAGAAAGAUUAUGUCCUACAAGCACCGAUAGGUGAUGCACCUGUUCUCCCUGCAGAACAAGACGUUAUGAACGCUUGGCAGACACGUACCGAUGAUUACUCCCUCGUUCAGUGUGGCAUGCUUUACAGCUUAGAACCGGGGCUCCAAAAGCGUUUUGAGAGACACGGAGCAUAUGAGAUGUUCGAAGAGCUGAAAAUGGUUUUUCAAGCUCAUGCCCGGGUCGAGAGAUAUGAAGUCUCCGACAAGUUCUUCAGCUGUAAGAUGGAGGAAAAUAGUUCUGUCAGUGAGCACAUACUCACUAUGUCAGGGUUACAUAACCGCUUGACUCAGCUGGGAGUUAAUCUCCCGGAUGACGCGGUCAUUGACAGAAUCCUUCAGUCGCUUCCACCGAGCUACAAGAGCUUUGUGAUGAACUUCAAUAUGCAGGGGAUGGAAAAGACCAUUCCUGAAGUAUUUGCAAUGCUGGAAUCAGCAGAGGUAGAAGUCAAAAAGGAACAUCAAGUGUUGAUGGUGAAUAAAACCACUAAGUUCAAGAAAGGCAAGGGUAAGAAAAACUUCAAGAAGGACGGCAAGGGAGUUGCCGCGCCCGGCAAGCAAGCUGCCGGGAAGAAGCCAAAGAAUGGACCCAAGCCCGAGACUGAGUGCUUUUAUUGCAAGGAAAGUGGUCACUGGAAGCGGAACUGCCCCAAAUACUUAGCGGACAAGAAGGCCGGCAAAACGAAAGGUAUAUGUGAUAUACAUGUAAUUGAUGUGUACCUUACCAGUACUCGUAGUAGCUCCUGGGUAUUUGAUACCGGUGCAGUUGCUCACAUUUGUAACUCAAAGCAGGAGCUGCAGAAUAAGCGAAGACUGGCGAAGGACGAGGUAACGAUGCGCGUCGGGAAUGGUUCCAAGGUCAAUGUGAUCGCCAUCGGCACGCUACCUCUACAUUUACCUACGGGAUUAGUUUUAAACCUCAAUAAUUGUUAUUUAGUGCCAGCUUUGAGCAUGAACAUUGUAUCAGGAUCUCGUUUAAUUCGAGAUGGCUACUCAUUUAAAUCCGAGAAUAAUGGUUGUUCUAUUUAUAUGAGAGAUAUGUUUUAUGGUCAUGCCCCGCUGGUGAAUGGUUUAUUCUUAAUGAAUCUCGAGCGUAAUGUUACACAUAUUCAUAGUGGGACUACCAAAAGAUGUAAGGUUGAUAAUGAUAGUCCCACAUACUUGUGGCACUGCCGCCUUGGUCACAUAGGUGUCAAACGCAUGAAGAAGCUCCAUGCAGAUGGACUUUUGGAGGCUCUUGAUUACGAAUCAUUUGACACAUGCGAACCAUGCCUCAUGGGUAAAAUGACCAAGACUCCGUUCUCAGGAACAAUGGAGCGAGCAACCAACUAAUUGGAAAUCAUACAUACUGAUGUGUGCGGUCCAAUGAGUGUUGAGGCUCACGGUGGUUAUCGUUAUGUUCUCACCCUCACUGAUGACUUGAGUAGAUAUGGGUAUGUCUACUUAAUGAAACACAAGUCUGAGACCUUUGAAAGGUUCAAGGAAUUUCAGAGUGAGGUUGAGAAUCAACGUGACAGGAAAAUCAAGUUCCUGCGAUCAGAUCGUGGAGGAGAAUACUUGAGUCACGAAUUUGGCACACACUUAAGAAAAUGUGGAAUAGUUUCACAACUCAUGCCGCCUGGAACACCUCAGCGUAAUGGUGUGUCCGAACGUCGUAAUCGCACUCUAUUGGAUAUGGUGCGAUCUAUGAUGUCUCUUACCGAUUUACCGCUAUCAUUUUGGGGCUAUGCUUUAGAGACUGCCGCAUUCACUUUAAAUAGGGCUCCGUCGAAAUCCGUUGAGACGACACCCUAUGAAUUAUGGUUUGGGAAGAAACCUAAGCUGUCGUUUCUAAAAGUUUGGGGAUGCGAUGCUUAUGUCAAGAAACUUCAACCUGAAAAGCUCGAACCCAAGUCGGAAAAAUGCGUCUUCAUAGGAUACCCUAAAGAAACUAUUGGGUAUACCUUCUACCUCAGAUCCGAAGGCAAGAUCUUUGUUGCCAAGAAUGGAUCCUUUCUAGAGAAGGAGUUUCUCUCGAAAGAACUAAGUGGGAGGAAAGUAGAACUUGAUGAAGUAUUACCUCUUGAACCGGAAAAUGGCGCAACUCAAGAAAAUGUUCCUGAGGUGCUUGCACCGACUAGAGAGGAAGUUAAUGAUGAUGAUCAUGAAACUUCAGAUCAAGUUGCUACUGAACUUCGUAGGUCCACAAGGACACAUUCCGCACCAGAGUGGUACGGCAACCCUGUCUUGGAAAUCAUGUUGUUAGACAACGGUGAACCUUCGAACUAUGAAGAAGCGAUGGCGGGCCCGGAUUCCGACAAAUGGCUGGAAGCCAUGAAAUCCGAGAUAGGAUCCAUGUAUGAAAAUGAAGUAUGGACUUUGACUGACUUGCCCGUUGAGCGGCGAGCCAAAGAAAAUAAAUGUAUCUUUAAGAAGAAGACAUACGCGGAUGGUAAUGUGACCAUCUAUAAAGCUCGGCUUGUCGCUAAGGGUUAUCGACAAGUUCAAGGGGUUGACUACGAUGAGACUUUCUCACCGGUAGCGAAGCUGAAGUCCAUCCGAAUCAUGUUAGCAAUUGCCGCAUUCUAUGAUUAUGAGAUAUGGAAAAUGGACAUCAAAACGGCAUUCCUUAAUGGUUUCCUUAAGGAAGAAUUGUAUAUGAUGCAGCCGGAAGGUUUUGUCGAUCCUAAGAAUGCUGACAAGGUGUGCAAGCUCCAACGCUCGAUUUAUGGGCUGGUGCAAGCAUCUCGGAGUUGGAACAUUCGCUUUGAUGAGAUGAUCAAAGCGUUUGGGUUUAUGCAGACUUAUGGAGAAGCCUGCGUUUACAAGAAAGUGAGUGGGAGCUCUGUAGCAUUUCUCAUAUUAUAUGUAGAUGACAUUCUUUUGAUGGGAAAUGAUAUAGAGCUUUUGGACAACAUUAAGGCCUACUUGAAUAAGAGUUUUUCAAUGAAGGACCUUGGAGAAGCUGCUUAUAUAUUAGGCAUCAAGAUAUAUAGAGAUAGAUCAAGACGCCUCAUAGGUCUUUCACAAAGCACAUACCUUGAUAAGAUAUUGAAGAAGUUCAAUAUGGAUCAGUCUAUGAAGGGGUUCUUGCCUGUGUUGCAAGGUGUGAGAUUGAGCUCAGCUCAAUGUCCGACCACGGCAGAAGAUAUAGAAGAGAUGAGUGUCAUCCCCUAUGCCUCAGCCAUAGGUUCUAUUAUGUAUGCCAUGCUGUGUACCAGACCUGAUGUAAACCUUGCCGUAAGUUUGGUAGGUAGGUACCAAAGUAAUCCCGACAAGGAACACUGGACAGCGGUCAAGAAUAUCUUGAAGUACCUGAAAAGGACUAAGGAAAUGUUUCUCGUUUAUGGAGGUGACGAAGAGCUCGUCGUAAAGGGUUACGUCGAUGCUAGCUUCGACACAGAUCUGGAUGACUCUAAGUCACAAACCGGAUACGUAUAUAUUUUGAAUGGUGGGGCAGUAAGCUGGUGCAGUUGCAAGCAGAGCGUCGUGGCGGGAUCUACAUGUGAAGCGGAGUACAUGGCAGCCUCAGAGGCAGCGCAUGAAGCAAUUUGGGUGAAGGAGUUCAUCACCGACCUAGGAGUCAUACCCAAUGCGUCGGGGCCGAUCAAACUCUUCUGUGACAACAUUGGAGCUAUUGCACUUGCCAAGGAGCCUAGGUUUCACAAGAAGACAAGGCACAUCAAGCGUCGCUUCAACUCCAUUCGUGAAAAUGUUCAAGAUGGAGACAUAGAUAUUUGUAAAGUACAUACGGACCUAAAUGUAGCAGAUCCGUUGACUAAACCUCUCCCUAGAGCAAAACAUGAUCAACACCAGAAUUCCAUGGGUGUUCGAUUCAUCAUAAUGUAACUAGAUUAUUGACUCUAGUGCAAGUGGGAGACUGUUGGAAAUAUGCCCUAGAGGCAAUAAUAAAAGGAUUAUUAUUAUAUUUCCUUGUUCAUGAUAAUUGUCUUUUCUUCAUGCUAUAAUUGUGUUAUCCGGAAAUCGUAAUACAUGUGUGAAUACAUAGACACCAACAUAUCCCUAGUAAGCCUCUAGUUGACUAGAUCGUUGAUCAAUAGAUAGUCAUGGUUUCCUAACUAAGGACAUUGGAUGUCAUUGAUAACAAGAUCACAUCAUUAGGAGAAUGAUGUGAUGGACAAGACCCAAUCCUAAACUUAGCACAAGAUCGUAUAGUUCAUUUGCUAGAGUUUUUCCAAUGUCAAGUAUCUUUUCCUUAGACCAUGAGAUCGUGUAACUCCCGGAUGCCGUAGGAGUGCUUUGGGUGUACCAAACGUCACAAUGUAACUGGGUGACUAUAAAGGUAUACUACGGGUAUCUUCGAAAGUGUCUGUUGGGUUGACACGGAUCAAGACUGGGAUUUGUCACUCCGUAUAACGGAGAUGUAUCUCUGGGCCCACUCGGUAAUGCAUCAUCAUAAUGAGCUCAAAGUGACCAAGUGUCUGGUCACGGGAUCAUGCAUUACGGUACGAGUAAAGUGACUUGCCGGUAAUGAGAUUGAACGAGGUAUUGGGAUACCGACGAUCGAAUCUCGGGCAAGUAACGUACCGAUUGACAAAGGGAAUUGUAUACGGGGUUGCGUGAAUCCUCGACAUCGUGGUUCAUCCGAUGAGAUCAUCGAGGAGCAUGUGUGAGCUAACAUGGGUAUCCAGAUCCCGCUGUUGGUUAUUGACCAGAGAGCUAUCUCGGUCAUGUCUACAUGUCUCCCGAACCCGUAGGGUCUACACACUUAAGGUUCGGUGACGCUAGGGAUGUAGAGAUAUGAAUAUGCAGUAACCUGAAAGUUGUUCGGAGUCCCGGAUGAGAUCCCGGACGUCACGAGGAGUUCUGGAAUGGUCCGGAGGUGAAGAAUUAUAUAUAGGAAGUGCAGUUUUGGCCAUCGGGAGAGUUUCGGGGGUCACCGGUAUUGUACCGGGACCACCGGAAGGGUCCCGGGGGUCCACCGGGUGGGGCCACCCAUCUUGGAGGGCCCCAUGGGCUGAAGUGAGGAGGGGAACCAGCCCAUAGUGGGCUGGUGCGCCCCCUUGGCCCACCCCCUGCGCCUAGGGUUGGAAACCCUAGGGAGGGGGGGCGCCCCCCCACUUGCCUUGGGGGCUACUCCACCCUUGGCCGCCGCCCCCCUAGGAGAUCCCAUAUCCUAGGGCCCCCCUAGGGGAGCCUAUAUAAAGGGGGGGGGGAGGGAGGGGCAGCCGCACCCUUGAGUCUUGGUGCCUCCCUCUCCCCUGCUACACCUCUCCCUCUCAUAGUAGAACGGCGAAGCACUGCUGCGGUGACCCCUGCAUCCACCACCACGCCGUCGUGCUGCUGGAUCUUCAUCAACCUCUCCUCCCCCCUUGCUGGAUCAAGAAGGAGGAGACGUCACACUGACCGUACCUGUGUUGAACGCGGAGGUGCCGUCCGUUCGGCGCUAGGAUCUCCGGUGAUUUGGAUCACGUCGAGUACGACUUCCUCAUCCCCGUUCUUUGAACGCUUCCGCGCGUGAUCUACAAAGGUAUGUAGAUGCAAUCCGAUCACUAGUUGCUAGAUGAACUCAUAGAUGGAUCUUGGUGAAACCGUAGGAAAAUUUUGUUUUCUGCAAUGUUCCCCAACAACAAGUUCGCAAACACAAGUACCACACUAGUAAAAGUUCACCAACAUAUGACAUAACCUCACAAGUUCAUCAACCUAAUGAAACGGCUACAUGAGCACUUCCAUAGUAAAAAACACAAGCACUAAUGCUUUCCGCGCGUGUUCCUGGUGCCACGCCUGCAGGCAAUCUUCUUCUUCUUGUUAGGACGAGCCUCCUCUUCCUCCACUUCCUCCUCCGCCUCAUCAUCCAAGCUAGCCAUCCGCGAGGUCCCUAUGACCACCUUUGGGUUGCCUCUGUUGUCAAAGUCAGUGGGCGUGUACCUGCGUAUGGGCUGCCUAGGCUUCAACAUAUAUGCGGACCGAACUUGAGCGCCCACCAAAGUCAUGUCAUCAUCAAGCUCAUCGCCCUAUCACACAACCAAACAAUAUGGUGAAGACCGGCGUCGUAAUCAAGUGAGAAUCACAUCUAAAGGAUUAGUCAUACCUCUUGGGUGACCGCAUCCUCAUCAUCCAGAUAAGCAUAUGAGGAACUCAAAUCAGCCCCCUGAUGGUUAGAUAAGGGGUCUGAUGGUGUACCAGACCUAGAGGCAGAUGGUUCAUCAAAUUCAGGAUCACGACAACCGAGAAGAUUCGAUAACUGCCUUAACUUCUUGGCCUGAUGCUGUAACAUGAACAAGUAUAUAGGAUAUCAAACUCUGCAACAUAUGUAACAUGGACACCUAAAUGCGAUAUGUACCUUCAGAAAUGCUCGUAGUGAACCAUCAUCACUGCUUUCUCCAACCGGUGUCUUCUCCAGAAUAGACUGGCUUUCAUCAGCUGCUUUCUUGAUCUCGUUGCGCUGCGGAUGAGAACGAAUGAACACGUUAGCCAUUCAAACAUGUGUAAUACGGCCAACGGGAAAGUAAAGAAGGGAACACUUUACCACAUAGUUAAUCACCGGAACAGCAGGGACUCCUUGCCCUUCCCUGACAUCUCUGUUGUACUUCCCCUUUGAUAGAUCCUCAAAGUUUACGGGUUCUUCAAGAAUAUCCUCAUUGUAUGCCGGCGGGCAUAUCUCAACUCGAGUAUUUUCAAGAAGCCAUUGUAUGUAGUUAUCAAAAGCAAGUGAUUUAUGCUCACGAAGCUAGGCGUAUGCACUGCUACGAGCUUGCUCCACACAAAGAUGGAAGCGGGUAACAUACGAAUCAUGAUGCUUGUCCCAGUCCUUUAUCUUCCGCCGCCUUCUCCUAUCCAACCUGCAUGGUACAAAACCAAAUAUUAGCAAAAUCAAGAAGGAGUGACGAUGCUUAGUCAAUACGGUUCAUGCUCUCUUACCUAUGAAGUGCUUUGUCCGUAUCCACCCAUUCCGGCGGGUGAGGCUGGAGCAGACCAAACUAACGAAACACGCGAUGUGGCAAAUGAAACUCAACCGCCCAGUUGCAUAUCAGUGGGCACCACAUAAGCCAGAGAUCCCUAUGCCGCAAGCACAUUGGGUUGAUGGAAAACUCCUCGGUGUACCCAAGUCUGUCAUCGUCGCCAUAUGGCUGCCAUACCACCUAUAAAAUAGGGCAACAAUGCAAAAUUGAUGACUAUUUUUCAGGCAAGCAUGAGAAAUGACUGAAGUAAUGACCUCGUUACCUGCUCAGGCGUAAUCGUGUCCAACUCGGCAAUGUACUUUUUGUACAUGAGAUUGACAUCGUUCAUCAUCUCGGAUACCACAUCCCACUUGUAAGCCCAAGUGGGGCGCCGUAAUUCGCCAUCUUCAUCCCAAUGAUUAAACUUGACGCUCUUCGGGCGUCCAACAGGCAGACGCUCCCAGCUCCAUACAGAAAGCAGAAGCAUAUUACCACCAAUGCCUGCACUACCUGUGAUCCUGCAACACGCAUCAUCUAGCUGCAUAUGAAAGAAAACAAUGUUAACUUGAUAGCAAGGUUGCAUUGCUAAUGAAGAAAUGACUUGAUAGCAAAACAAACCAACUACCUGUCAGUACAAGUAGGCAAGAGUCGUUGAACCCUAGCUCCACCCGCUCCCGAAGACGGUCAACGCCUUCAGCCACAUCCAUGGAGCAUUCUUGCCUGUGGAGUUAGGAAACAAAGUCCUCGAGACAACGUACCACAUAUAGAAACGAGCAUGUGUCUGGAUCACAUCAUCAGUGGCAUCCGCAGGGCAAGUGGCAAAGUGUUCUUGAAUCCACAUGAAAGCAGCUCCGGCUGCUUUCCUUUCCUUUCCUUCUUCUUAUUCAUCAUCAUCAUCAUCAUCAUCAUCAUCAUCUUCUUCUUCUUCAUCUUCAUCAUCAUCAUCUUCUUCUUCUUCUUCUUCUUCAUCUUCAUCAUCAUCAUCAUCAUCAUCAUCAUCAUCUUCUUCUUCUUCUUCUUCUUCUUCUUCUUCUUCUUCUUCUUCUUCUUCUUCUUCUUCUUCUUCUUCUUCUUCUUCUACUCUACAUCAGCCUCAGCCUUGGUAGGAGCCAUACCGAUAAGAGCAAUCAUCUGCUCACACCACCCAUCAGAAUCGGUGCUCAUACAUAGAGGCCUCCCGUCGAUAGGAAGCCCGGUGAUCAAGGCGACAUCCUCAAGCGUCACAGUCAUCUCCCCAGUCCGAAGAUGGAAAAUGUGCGUCUCCGGCCUCCACCGAUCAGCAAGAGAGGUCACCAGUGGAGCGCUGAGGUUCGGCGUGGACCGGCUGACCAACUGAAUCCACGGGAGGAGUCCUGCCUGCUGGAUGUAGGGUAUGUACCGCUCAUCGUAGGGCAUGGCAGGACCAGAGAUCCCGUGAUACUGAAUCUUCAGAGGUUCAAGCUUCUGCGAAAAACAAGUAAUGACAAAUCUUAGGGCAUGUCAAUUUCAACAAAAGGAAAAUUUGCGAAAUAUUUAGAUUACGCAUUAUUACCAUAUCCUUCUCACGCAUCAUGAAGGCCCGGUGUUGUGUGUCGUAGACAUCAUCGAGAAGCCAAACCAUCCUUACAAAGUUCAAACAAUAAACAUAUAAAACUAAACAUCUCAUAUAUGUCUACAAAAAUCAACAUCUCAUAGUUAAUUAUAAAAAUAGGCAUCCCAUAUAUAUCUAAAAAAACUAAAAAAUCUAGGGUUUCACUAACAAGAAUCAUAUAUUGUGAACUAAUCAACAACACUACGGCACUACCACUAUGCCUACACAUCCUAAAUCAAGCAAAUCAAGGGUUCCAUCAAAUCUUGGAUAAAUCUCUAAAAUGGCACCAAAUUUACGGAGGAAAAGAAAGGGAACGGAGAAGUUUACCUAGUAGGAGGGAUUGGAGAUCGAAUCCACGGAUCAAAUCUUCAGANNNNNNNNNNNNNNNNNNNNNNNNNNNNNNNNNNNNNNNNNNNNNNNNNNNNNNNNNNNNNNNNNNNNNNNNNNNNNNNNNNNNNNNNNNNNNNNNNNNNNNNNNNNNNNNNNNNNNNNNNNNNNNNNNNNNNNNNNNNNNNNNNNNNNNNNNNNNNNNNNNNNNNNNGAGAGGGAUGUGGGGGGGGGGGGAUUCGAUGGGGGCGCCGCCGCUGCUCUUUGUCCAGAGAGCGGAGAGGGGGAAGAACUGCCCAGUCGGGCUGGGCCGAUGUGCUUUAAGUCACUGUGCAUCGCCUAAGGGCUAGGCACUGCACAUUACAAGUGUGGCGCCUAGCCCUUAGGUGCUGCACAACUGUCUGUGGGGCCGCGCCUGGCCCCGGGCUGCCACGCUGGCAGGAGGUACGACGUCUAAGGCAAAGGCGCUGCACCAUACGAUGCGGCGCCUAGGUGUCGGGCGCCUCUCUAAAGGGUCAGCAGCGUGAUUUUUUUUGAAGCCAGGUCAGAUUUUGAUUUGAUAUCGUCCUCAGGUCAAAUAUGUGUUUUCUGCCGUGUUCAUGAUAGUAGCUGUGUUCAUGCUAGAAUCCCCAAUGGUAGUGUGCUUUGCUAGGAUAUGUGUUCAUGGUAGGGUCUUGCUAGGAUGUGUGUUCAUGCAAAUGGCAUGUUCAUAUUCAAGCUAGGAUCAUCUUCAUGUUGUUGAUCAUGUUGCUAACAUACAUGUUCAAGCUAGGGUUUGUGUUGAUUGUUAUAUGUGCAUGUAGUAGGACCAUUUUAGGAUGCUGCCAAAUGUGCAUGGCUGCACAUGGGUGCUAUUGGCACUUGCUGUUGCUAUUUUUAGAUGUUUCCAUGCUUAGGAUAGUGCACUGAUGAGUGGGAGUUGCAGAAAAGCAGAUGCCAUUGAUCAGUGGACUUGCCCAACAGCAAGUGCCACUGGUCAGUGGCAUUUUCCCAUGGGCAAGUGCCAUUGAUUGUUGGGCAAGUCCAUUGAUCAGUGCCACUGAUCAGUGGCAUUUUCCCAACAACAAGUGCCAUUGAUAAGUGGCAUUUGCUCAAAGAGUUUGUGCACUGAUCAGUGGCAUUUGCUCCUGGGAAAAUGUCUCUGAUCAGUGCCAUUUUGCAAAGAGUCUGUGCACUAAUACUUAUCUUACUUGACAAGAUAUUGAAGACUAACUGGGAUGUGGUGGGUGGAGGAGCUCAGGUGGUGGCCGGAGCUGAGGGCGAUGAGGAUUUCAUCCCCACGAACAGGUGGCUCAGGACGGUUGACCUGCCUGGCAGGAUCUCCUUCAUGAGCCUGCCUCGUUCAAGGGGACGAUCUCUGAGGCAGGGCCACGAGGAGGGGGCCCAGGAGCCGCUGUGCUACUACCAGCAGAUCAAGGACAAUGAGGACCUCGCCAUGCUCGUCGUCCCUCGCAAGUUCGUGGAGGUGAUGAACACCUGGCUGGUCAUCAAGCGGCUCCCGUGCAUGGUCAGGCUGUCGGUGAACAAGCGGUGCGUGUUCUGGGUGCAGGUCCAGAACUUCGAGGGGCACUUGGUGCUUGGCCAGGGCUGGAACUACUUCUGCCGCCGCCCAGAUCGUCCCCGGUCAUCUGCAGGUUUCUUUGCAGCAGGCACAACUGCGUUGGUGAGACCGAGCAUGCUAUGUAGUUAAGUUAAGUAAGGUGUUAGUGUUGAGCUUUUAUGGUGUGUGACUAGACUUUUGGUACUUGUGCUGGGAACUUGUUAAUAUUUUGGCCAGGAGCAGCACCCUGGCGUGGAGCAGGGAAGGAGGAUGCCCCUGCUGUUAAUCUAGACUUAUGCUCCUUGCUUGUUGUGUUUGAUUUCAUUUGGUUGCUUGCUUUGUUUGAUCUUAUUGUUGUACUGAUCAUAUGGUGGUAAGGCCACCACAUUUGAAUGGGGUGAGCAGAACACAAACGCUGUUUGCAACCAAACAACUGAAGUUUGCAUUUGNNNNNNNNNNNNNNNNNNNNNNNNNNNNNNNNNNNNNNNNNNNNNNNNNNNNNNNNNNNNNNNNNNNNNNNNNNNNNNNNNNNNNNNNNNNNNNNNNNNNNNNNNNNNNNNNNNNNNNNNNNNNNNNNNNNNNNNNNNNNNNNNNNNNNNNNNNNNNNNNNNNNNNNNNNNNNNNNNNNNNNNNNNNNNNNNNNNNNNNNNNNNNNNNNNNNNNNNNNNNNNNNNNNNNNNNNNNNNNNNNNNNNNNNNNNNAUGAGGCUACAUUUCAAGAACCGGGCUGGCUGGAGAUGGACAUGUAAUGCAACUACUGUUGCAAACUGCAACCAGACACGCCCUGUGUGUUUUGAAAUUUGUUCAACAUAUAUUACAAAAAUGUUCAUUGUAUUAAAAAGUUGUUCAACGUAUAUUACAAUAUGUUUAAUGCGUAUUCGAAAAUUGUUCAAUGUAUAUAAUCACAUUUUUUUCAACAAUGUUCAUCGUAUAAAAAAAUUCAUCGUGUAUUAUUACAAUGUUCAUUGUAUAUUAAGAAAAUUUCUGUCGGUAUUAAGAAAAUGUUCAAUGUGUAAUUUUAAAAUAAAAACCAACCAAAAAGUCCGAUAUAGUAAACUGGAUGCUACAGUAGGCAAAAUUUCGUGUUUUGUCCCUUUUCUGAAAGUUGAUCGAGAUCUGACCCUAGUUUGUAAUUUUUUUGAGAUCUGACCCUUUUGCUACCGCCGGGGUCUUUGACGGUAGGGUUACACUGCCUACCACCAUGGUCUAUGGAGAUAGGAUUUAACUGCGUUAUCACAUUGUUAUAACGCUAAAAAUACCCUACCUCCAAGAUCUUGGGUGGUAGGCCGUUAUACCCUACCGCCAGGCUGCUUGGCGGUAGGGUAUGCACUACCUUUGUGUUUGAGGCAACGAAGUAAACGCGUAGCUCUGCACAGGUAGCAUGUAUGUCUUGUCCAUUAUUCAAAGACAUGUUAGUCAGUGUCUAUGCUUUGCUAGAGUGCAAUACACUACUACUAGCUGUAGGUUUUACUAGUUUUUACUGUCUCUGAAAAGGCUGCUGCGAGCCGAGACAUACUCCCUCCGUUCCAGAUUCUAGUGCGUAUAGUUUUUUGGCUUCGAUUCCGAUAUGUAGUGCGCAUAAGCGCUGUGAAGCUGCUUUGGACGAAAUAACCCUCAACUGGUUCACGGCAGUGCAGCAGCAGGUACCCACGUGCGUGACAGACCAAGCAGGGGGAGGGGUAAUUCUUGUCCAAACAAAGACGCCAGCUCAUACAUUGGUAUAAGUGCCCCAGCCAAAGGCGCACUAUAAAGAGGAAUGGAGGGAGUACGAGCUAUUGUCAGGCGUAGACGCGUAGUACUCCCCUGCCCCUAGGCACGUACUAUACCUAGCUCACAGCAAGCCAGGCUGAUGCAUGCAUGCUUUGAUCGAUUGACAUAGAUUAUACACGUACAGUGUCAGUGAGGGGCUUUGUUCAUCUUUGUUUAUUUGGACCAGAGCAUGCUGCAUGUGACAUAUCCAUGCUCUGGCAUUUUCUCGCCCAAAAAGUUGAGCAGGCCUACCGCCAAAGCACAUGGCGGUAGGGAUACACUUCUACCGUCAAACGUCCUGGCGGUAGCAUUUUUUUCCAUGUUAAAUGGACGUGAUGGCACAGUUAAGUUCUACCGUCAUUGAUUUUGGCGGUAGAUUAUGUGACCCUACCGCCAGAGACCGCGGCGGUAGGAAAAAUGGUCAGAUCCUGAAAUAUUUUCGAAUCGGGAUCAGAUCCUGCUAAAGUUUAAGAAAAAGGUCAAAACACCAAAUUUAACCUACUAUAGUAUGGGCCGUUACAGUAAACCCGACGCGACAGUAAAACCAACUAAAAAUGGAGAGAAAAUAAAAUAAAAUAUCGCUCGCAGGGAGGAUGGGCUGGCUAAGCACGUGCCCCGUCCGAAGUUCCCUCCUUUUGACACACGCGGGCGUCACACAGCUGGUCUCGUCUCAGACGACAUGAAACAAAGCACAACCCUCGGGCGGGCACAUAUGUGUGUACAGGUUCCCCAACAGAGAGGAGAAACAUUGGUCAAAAUUAUGAAGUAUAGUUUCAGCCAAAAGUUUGCCUCUUUCUUUUGCCUUUUUUAGCUGUAUGUUUGUAUGUUUCUUUGCGAAAAAUUCUCUUCCUUCAGGGGAUGUUCUACAUUAGAGGAAUAUGACCUCAACAAGUAGUUGUGCAGUUUGCGGGGAAGAUGAGUCAUGGCGUCACUCCCUGCUAUAGUGUACACCAUGCCAUGUUGUAGACGGAAACAAAAAAUUGUCUACUAAAUAUUGAGUUGAAGUUGCAGAGCUUGAAGACUCAUGAAGUCACCACGGGCACCUCGGUAUAGAUGGGAACACCUCCUCUCACAGGAAGACAAUCCGCAUUAAUGAGACACCAAGACAUCAAACUUGAGGCCUGAUCUUUGGUGCAGCUGGGGUACCACUUGUUGGAGUCAAUUCCAGCGAAUCUCGGGUAAGGGGUCCCGAGCUCUAGCUUAAGUACAAUGGUAGCAAGAGAUGCAAGGUUUUUACCCAGGUUCAGGCUCUCUCUAAGAGAUAAUACCCUACGUCAUGCUUUUGUUGUAGUGAUUGAGAUGAAGUACAAAGUACAUGUGUUUCUACCACGAGAUUUUCUGUGUCCUUACGCGUCCUACCCCCUAGCUUAUAUAGGCACCAGGGGGUCUGGGGUUACAUAUAUGUCCGCUACAUAUUUGGUAGAUCACGGUGUAGACGACUUCUGAACUUGGAGUGCGCGCGCCAAGCCUUCGGGAAUCCUCCUUGUGUACGCCGUGGGUCAUUGGGUGCGGCCUAUUAGUGAAUCGCCAGGGAGCUCCUUGGCCCGACACACUGGUCGGGAGACGACGUGAUGAGUACCCCCUAGUCAGGGACACCAUUAGUAGUCCCUGAACCGGUCUUCAAGUCAGGGACGCUCCUCGGUUCUUCUGAACCACUCCUGGUUUUUAGUCGUCGGUCUUAAAACUAGUUCAAAAAGUUCCCGUUUUGAUCUCGAGGAUCACCGAGGUGUAUCCGAAGAGUGCACACGUCGGGCAUCCAAGGACCUCCUUAUGGGUUCCCUUAGCCUUUGUCACAUGCUUUAUUAUUUUCACACCUCAUCCCGAGUGAUAUUUUUCCCGCACGGCGGUGCCUUAGCCUUGAAGUGUUCCUGCGCUAAAGCUGUGCUAAUGGUGUAGUCAUGCUUUGAUAACUCUGAUCGAUUCUGUCCUUCGUUGUGCUAUCACAUCAGAUGUUAUCAUAAUGUUUGAGUGUGGCUCACGGCCCCACCACAUGUUCGGUUAACAAAAAUGAUCGUGCCCCUAUACACAUUGUCUCCUCGAUUCAUGCGCAUAAUUAGCUCACGAUGCUUGGGGAACAUGCGAACUAAUUGCCACGCGGCCCCUCUGUUCUGCCGUCGCUCCAUAUGGGAACUUUGAAUGGUCUUGACUGCUUGAUCCAGCUCGGCCCUUGGACGCUUCCUCGGUAUCUUGGAACUCGGCCACGAAGAUCGCGGUCUGCUCUUCUGUUUGGAGAGAGCGUUUCGUGUUACCAUUUACUAUUAUCACGUCAUGCGGCCCUGCCAUCUUUAGCUUUAGAUAAGCAUAGUGCAGGAUGACAUGGAAACGAGUGGAAGCCAUUCUCUCGAGGAGUGCAUGAUAUCCACUCUUGAAAGGGACGAUGUCGAAGGUUACUCGCCGCUUUAAAAAAAUGGGUGUGCCAAAGACUACAUACAGGGUUAUCCUUCCCGAGCACCGUGCUUUAAUCCCUGGUAUAAUACCCUUGAAGGUGGUAUUAUUGGGCUAGAUCCUUGUUGGGUCUAUAUGUAUCUUCUUGACUGUAUUUGCAUAUAUGAGGUUGAGGUUGUUUCCACCAUCCAUGAGUACUCGUGUCAGACAAAAGCUGUCAACUAUGGGGUCAAGGGCUAGCGCUGUUGGGCUGCCAUGAUGGAUGCUAGUCGGGUGGUUUCGUCGGUCAAAGAUGAUCGGGAUUUUUGACCAUGGAUUAUAUUUUGACGCGGCAGGCUCCACGGCGUAUACAUCAUGGAGCGCGCUCUGCUUUCUGGUGACGUGUGUGAUAUAUAUCAUGUUUAUGUCCUUGACCUCGAGAGGAAACUACUUCUGGCCUGCAUUGCUCAGCCCUGGCUGGUCUGUAUCCUCAUUACGAGGUUGACCUUUGCCUUGGUUAUCGGCCGCAAUCUUUCCGGCCUACUUGAUGACCCAAAAAUUCCGGUUGGCAUGCGUGGCCGGCUGCUACUUGUGAGCUGCAUUGGGAUUUCCGCAAAGAGGAGAGGACGAAGAAGUACAGUAGAGAUAAGUAUUUCCCUCAGUUAAGAACCAAGGUUAUCAAUCCAGUAGGAGAACCACGCAGAACCUCUUUAGCAGCACCUACACACACAAAAACAAAUACUUGCACCCAACCCAAACAAGGGGGUUGUUAAUCCCCUCGGCGGUUAAUUGCAAGGAUCAAAUCUCACAGUGAUAGAUAGAUAAAAUAAAACACAAAAUAAAAUAAUGAUAAAUAAAUUGCAGCAAGGUAUUUUUGGAUUUUAUAUAUGAUAAAAGUAGACACGGGGGCCAUAGUUUUAACUAGAGGCUUCUCUCUUGAACAAAAGCAUACGGUGGGUAAACACAUUACUAUUGGGCAAUUGAUAGAAAAGCCCAUAGUUAUGAUGAUAUUCAAGGCAAUGAUCAUGUAUAUAGGCAUCACGUCCGAGACAAGUAGACUAACUCGUGACUACAUCUACUACUAUUACUCCACCCAUUGACCGCUAUCCAGCAUGCAUCUAGGGUAUUAAGUCAAUAAAAACAGAAUAACACCUUAAGCAAGAUGACAUGAUGUAGACAAAGUAAACCCAAUCAAUAUGAAUAAACCCCAUCUUUUUAUCCUUAAUGGCAAUGAUACAAAUAAGUGUCAUGUCCCUUUCCGUCACUGGGAUUGAGCACCGCAAGAUUGAACCCAUCACAAAGCAACUCUCCCAAUGCAAGAUAAAUCAAACAGAUAGAUCAGAGAGAAAUACAAAGCUAUAACAAUCAUGCAUAAAAGGCUUCAGAAAAGACUCAAAUAUUUCUCAUGAAUAAUCUGAUCAUAAACCCACAAUUCAUCGGAUCCCAACAGACAUACCACAAAAGAAAAUUACAUCGAAUAGGUCUCCAAGAACAUCAAGGAGAACAUUGUAUUGAAGAUAAAAGAGAGAGAAGAAGCCAUCUAGCUACUAGCUAUGGACCCGUAGGUCUAUGGUAAACUACCCACACAUCAUCGGAAGGGAAGCAAGGUUGAUGUAGAAGCCCUCCAUGAUCGAUUCCCCCUCCGGCAGAGUACCGGAGAAGGCCUCUAGAUGGGAUCUCGAAGGAACAAAGGCUUGCGGCGGCGGAAAAAGUGUUUCGGGUGGUUCUCUAAUGUAUUAGGAAUAUUUGGGAAUUUAUAGAAGUGGAACUAGGUCAACAGGUGCCACAAGGGGCCCACAAGCCUGGGGGCACGCCUGGCGGGCUUGCCUCUCCCUCAUGACUCUUCUGGUCUUCUCCCCAAGCUUCUAGGGUUCCUUUUGGUCCAGAAAAAAUAUCAAAAAGUUUCGUAGCAUUUGGACUCUGUUUCGUACUGAUUUCCUGAAAAGCCAAAAACAAGAAAAAAUAGCAACUGGCACUGGGCACUAGGUUAAUAGGUUAGUCCCAAAAAUGAUAUAUAAUUGCAUAUAAAACAUCCAAUAUUGAUAUUAUAAUAUCAUGGAACAAUAAAAAAUUAUAGAUGCGUUGGAGACGUAUCAGUAUCCCUAAGCUUAAUUCCUGCUCGUCCUCGAGUAGGUAAAUUAUAAAAAUGGAUUUUUUAUGUGGAAUGCUACCUAUCAUGUUCAUCAUGUAAUUUCUCUUUUUGUGGUAUGAAUAUUUAAGAUCCGAAUGGUUCAAAGCAAUAGUCUAUAGUUUGAUAUAAAGACAUCAAUACUUGGGCAUACUAACAAACAAUCAUGCUUUUCAAAACAAAAAUGCUAAAGAAAGUUAUCCCUACAAAAUCAUAUAGUCUUGUCAUGCUCCAUAUUCUUAACACAAAAUAUUUAUCAUGCACUACCUCGAUGACAAGCCGAGCAAUUGGUCCAUACUUUCUAACGCGCUUCAACUUUUUCAACCCCACGCAAUACAUGAGCGUAAGCCACGGAUAUAACACUGUGUGUGGAAUAGAAUACGGUGGUAGAGGUUAAUAUGGAGAAGAUAAAAUGGAAGAAAGUCACACAUUGACGAGGAUAAUCCAUGGGCUAUGGAGAUGCCCAUCAAUUAAUGUCAAUGCAAGGAGUAGGGAUUGCCAUGCAACGGAUGCACUAAGAGCUAUAAGUGUAUGAAAGCUCAAAAUAAAAACUAAGUGGGUGUGCAUCCAACUCGCUUGCUCAUGAAGACCUCGGGCAUUUGAGGAAGCCCAUCAUCGGAAUAUACAAGUCAAGUUCUAUAACGAAAAUUUUCCACUAGUAUAUGAAAGUGAAAGCAUAGGAGACUCGCUAUAUGAAAAAACAUAUACUUUGAAGCACAAGUGUGGAAAAGGAUAGUAACAUUGCCCCUUCUCUCCUUUUCUCUCAUUUUUUGGUGGGCUCUUUUUGGCCUCUUUUUUUAUUUUCUCACUGGACAAUGCUCGAAUAAUGAAUAAUGAUAAUCAUCACACUUCUAUUUACUUACAACUCGAUACUUGAACAAAUAUAUGACUCUAUAUGAAUGCCUCUGGCAGUGUACCAGGAUGUGCAAUUAUCUAGUGUAACAUGUAUAAAAAAUGAUGAAUGGUGGCUGAGCCACCAAUACUAUGUCAGCUAUAUGAUCAUGCAAAGCAAUAUGACAAUGAUGAUGUGUGUCAUAAAAACAAAAUGGUGGAAGUUGCAUGGUAACAUAUCUCGGAAUGGCUAUAGAAAUGACAUAAUAGGUAGGUAUGGUGGCUGUUUUGAGAAAGAUAUAAUGAGACUUAUGUGUGAUAGAGCGUAUCAUACCAUGGGGUUUGUAUGCACCGGCGAAGUUUGCACCAACUAUCGAGGUGACAAAGGGCAAUGCACGGUACCAAAAAGGCUAGAAAAUUGCAAAAAGGUGAGAGUGCGUAUAAUCCAUGGACUCAUAUUAGUCAUAAAGAAAUCGUAUACGUAUUGCGGAAGUUUAUUAGCCCUCGAAGCAAAGUACUACUACGCAUGCCCUUAGGGGGAUAGAUUGGUAGGAAAAGACCAUCGCUCGUCCCCAGCCGCCACUCAUAAGAAAGACAAUCAAUAAUAAAUCAUGCUCCAACUUCUUAGCAUAACUAGAGACCGUACGUGCAUGCUUCGGGAAUCACAAACCUUAACACCAAUAUUCUUACUAAACCACAAUCAUUCACUAGUACCUCCCACAUAUUACCAUCUUAAUAUCGCAAAACUAUUGCAAGGAAUCAAACUUAUCAUAUUCAGUGAUCUACAUGAAAGUUUUUAUUAUAUCCUUCUUGAAUACCUGUCAUAUUAGGACCAAUUUCAUAACUCGUGCAUAAUGCCACUACUAUUUAUCAAAAUCUAAAAAUGAUAUAAUCGAAGCAUGAGUGUGCAACUAUUUCUUUAAAAUAUAACCACUGUCGUGCUCUAGAAAAUAUAAGUGAAGCACUAGAGCAACUGCCUAGCUCAAAAGAUAUAAGUGAAGCACAAAGAGUAUUCUAACAAAUCGCGAAUGAGUGUGUGUCCCUCUCAAAAGGUGUGUCUAGCAAAGAUGAAUGUGGCAAACUAAAAAACAAAGGAAGCAAGGACUCGUAUAAUACUCGACGCUCCAAGCAAAACUCAUAUCAUGUGAUGAAUAAAAAUAUAGCUCCAAGUAAUUUACCGAUGGUUGGUAGACAAAAAAGGGGACGCCUUACGGGGAAUCCCCAAGCUUAGAUGCUUGGGUAUCCUUGAAUAUUACCUUGGGGUGCCUAGGGCAUCCCCAAGCUUAGGCUCUUGCCACUCUCAAUUCCUUCAUCCAUCGCGAUCCCACUUAAAACUUAACUUAAGCACACAAAACUCAACGGAAACUUACGCGAGAUUCGUUAGUAUAACAACCAAAUCACAAACUUUAGGUACUGUUAUGAACCCAUUCAUAUUUUAUAAUUACAUAAUACCUACUGAACUUCUCCAUGACUUAUACCCCUCGGUACAAUCCAUAGAUUCAUCAAAACAAGCAAACUAUGCAACGAAAAUGUGUCUAAAAUAGAACAAUCUGUAGUAAUCAGAAUAAUGACCAUACUUCUAGAGCUUUAAAAAUUAUAAAAAAUAGUGGAAACGUGGACAAUUUGUAUAUCAAUCAUGUGAAAAAAAUUCAGAUAAAAACAAGUUCCAGUGGUUUUUAGAGUUUUCUGGACCGAGCGCAAAAGUUUAUGUUGUUUCACAGAAUCGAAUCAACUAUCAACCAAAUCAUCCCAAAGGCUUUACUUGGCACAAACUCUAAUUAAUCAAAAAAACACAACCAUAACAGUAGCAUAAUUGUGUGCACACUCAAAACAGAAAAUAAACAAGAAAAAAUAAAGAUAGCUAUUGGGUUGCCUCCCAACAAGCGCUAUAGUUUCACGCCCCUAGCUAGGCGUAAUGCAUAGUUUCAAGUGUUGUCAUCUUUAGUUUCCAACUCCUAAAUCACACAUCCAUACUUCCUAGGAGUCUUAGCACACAUAUUUUUAAGAAUCGCACUCCUAGGAACAAAGUUGAGGAAUUCAUUCUCGUAGAUGGGUUCCUUUAUUAAAUCAAUGAAAUUGGGGUGAACACUAAUCAUUUUAAGAUCCUCACUUCCAUUACUAGAUGUAGCACCCUUGUUCUUAGGAACAUACAUAAACUUGCAAUUCUUACUAGGAGGAGUCCUUCCAAUAGUUUUAAUGAAAGAAAACUCGGAACCCAAAUUAUUAAUAACUUCUUCCAACUUAUCAAUUAUGGCGGGAUUUUGUUCUAUCCUCUCGUUAAUUACCGGUUCCUUCUCUUUUAUUGUUUUCAGAGUAGUUCCUACCUUUGAUCCAAAUUUAGUAAUAUGAUUAUGAAUCUUCUUAUCCAAAGUUUCAAUAUGCUCUACGGUUGGCGUUUUAUUUUCAAUAGCUUCUAGCCUUUGCAUAACAUGCUCCAAAGUUAAUGUUGUUUCAUUAAUAAUAAUAGGUGGGGAUCCCACUAAAUUUCCCAUAGCAUUGAAAGCAUCCAUAGGGUGAAUACUUAAGAAAUUCCCUCCGGUAAUAGUGUCAAGCACAAAUCUAUACCAAGUAGUAACACCCACAUAAAAAUUGCGAAGAAGAACGAUAGUAGAUGGCUUAGGAGUUGAUCUAUUUUGAACAUCACAAAUCCUAUACCAAGAAUCUUUUAAAUUCUCUCAUCCCCUUUGUUUAAAAUUGAGUACUUCAUUUUAGGGGUACACGUAACAAGAAAAGACCUGGCCAUAAUGGCAAAUCAAGGAAGCAAACAAGCAAAAGCAAUAAAAGAGGCAAACAAAACAAAAAAAAAUA
RNAcentral lists this long non-coding RNA (49950 nucleotides) under Triticum aestivum (bread wheat). RNAcentral describes it as "long non-coding RNA (TAES_LNC025651)". The record is from RNAcentral. Lineage: Eukaryota; Viridiplantae; Streptophyta; Magnoliopsida; Poales; Poaceae.